UAUCAUAUAUGCACUACUGGUGUUAAAAUUAAAAAUUCCUGCAGGGGAGGAACAACAAGAGACAUCUGCCUUUUCAGCAGCAGCACAACAAACGACACCUACCUAUUCUUCCUCGGUCAAUCUCGAAACGAAGUACAUACAUUACUAUGAUCAAAGUCUUCAUGGUGGGGAUUGAUAGAAGCCCUGGAGAAGAAGAGGCCCUCUGUCUGUGCCUCUCCAUUCUUUCUUAACCAUUAAUCAAGGGGAUGAUGAUCCUGGCCGAUGCCGCUGGCACCUGUUACAUCUGCGACCCAUAAGGUGCGAGCGUGCUGCUGCGCAGGCUCACGCCGGCGCCUCUUAGCGAAACAGCAGGGCCCCUGUGGGUGCUCGCCCUGCUUACGAGGCUCGAGUCGAGGUAGAGUAUGAUGACCGUUAUGUCAUCAUGGAAGUGGCGACGGACACCUCGGUCGAUCUUCUUGAGAUCGGAAUACCUCAUCUCUCUUUUCUUGGCUGCUUCUAGCAAGGCUGAUUUUAUGAGCCUCCUAGCGCUCCCCUGCAAAAUCAAACAGAGCAUGAGCCAUUAAGUCUCCAAUUAGCACUGGGCCUAGCAAAAACAAGGUAAACGUAAUUCUGACACAAAGCUUCUGCCAUAGUAGUGAUCAAUUUUAACCCACUGCUUCACAGCCAAAAAUUAUCAAGGAUUCUAUUUUCUAUACAAGCCAUGCCACGUCAACAUUCAGCUGACGGCGUGAUCACUGGAUUUUAAAUGCAUACAUGCCAUGGUAAUGUGCAGUUUGUAGUUGAAAAGUAGAGAACCAUCCAUAAAGUAGAGAACCAUCAUGUCUCUAUUUUACAACAUCAAUUCUAUAUGCAAAUUGUUAUUCUCAAAUAUCAAUUUUGCAUUCAGAGAAGCCUUAUUAUUGUUUCAUAAAUGAAAAUCAGGGCAAGUAACCCAUGCUCCAUAUGCUGGGUAAUGAAUCAGCAUUUUGUAAUAGUGGCAUGUUAAUUCUGAGUUUGUAAAUAACUAGAAAUCUAAUGUGGAAUAUGAAACCAUAAUGUCAUGCACAGUUGUACUAGAAUACGCCAAACAUUAUGGAAGUAUAUUUGUCAGGUCAACUUAUUUACAUGGGAAUGAGAAACUUACACUACGAGGGCUACUUUGAACAAUGUCAACAGCCUCCUGGUUGGUUAAGUGCUCCCAAAGUCCAUCAGAUGCAAAUAUGAGAAACUCAUCAUGUGGCUGUAUAGGUUGAACGCAAAUAGAUGGUUCUGAACUUAGUAUGGGCCUGUUAAAAGGUUCACGAAGACGGAAUUUUGCAUACAGAGGUUCCCGAUUGAACUCUUGUUUUUUCAGAUAGGCAUCACCGAUCGAUCUGCAGACCUGCAACAUACAACAAGCAAAGAAAAUCUUCAUUUGGUCCCACGGUAAAAAGAAACAUAAUCGGCAAGUACCAUCAUAUAUCUGUUACUCAUAGUCAUACAAGACAAACUCAGCGACACAUUUCUGCAUGUCCUAUCAUGAAGUGAUGAAUCAGUGGGGCUUAAGAACAUUUUUUAACAAAUGGUUAAACCGAUUGAAGAAACUAACCGAACUGAGCCAUAAUAAUAUUUCUUGAGUAGUAACUAUCCAUCCCAUGAGAAAUAAGUCUACUAAGUAAAAGAUGAUACGGGCACUAGCAAUGCAAAACCCCAAAUUGUUAUUAAGCUCUCCGCUUCAGCGCUACCUAAUAAAUAUAGCAGUAUUGUCAUAAUCAUUGAUCACAUCAAGAGGCUAAUUGUCAUCCACAAGCAUAAGAAUAUGUUUGUUGCGUUUCUACCCCCUUACAGCCCUACGGCCUAUACCACUUGGUUUUGUCUGUAUCUUGGACAAAAACAAGAAUGAGGUUAUUCACUAAAAUACCAUUCAGAGUAAGACACAAGAUUAAACUUCCAGGUGGUAAAAUUGAAUGUAUAUUUUGCCAACUGAAUGUGCAUAAGCAUAUGAAAUGACCAUUAUAUCGAACUUCCACGAAUCUACAAAUGUCUCCCCAGUGGCAGAAGACGCACCUGAAUUAGGCCUUUUACACGCCAAACACUGUGCUUGAGAACAACAACAUGCCUAUCUUCAGGGUGCAUUGACUGCAAUUCUUUUCUCACUGACUCAAUGCUGACAUUAUGUUCUGCUGACAGUUGGACAGCCAACACUUCUCCAGUGGCUUUAACAUGUUUUCCUAAAACAGCACGAGAAUCCCCAACAUUCGCAACAUAAAGCAUGCCACCACAGAUAACACCAACCAGACAGCAUGAGCCAACAGCCGCUAUUUGAGGCUUGACAGGCCAUUGCUUGGUGACGAUAGAGAAGAAUCCAUCUUCUGUAGCUUCAUAUGCUUUCUUCAGUACAUCAGCAGACAUUGCAUUCUGUUCCGAAGCGAACCCUGCAAUACAAACCAGGGAAGAAGUAAAUAAUCACUGCAGUGUUCUUUAUCAGGCAAGUGAAACAGGGCAGUGUGGACAGAGCACCAAAGAAUGAGCAUAAUACUAAUGCAUAGUGAUCCCAGGUUAGAAAUUACUUUUAAGAUGGUUGAAGAGGUUAUCGUUGAUGUAGCAAGCUGUCUCUGGUCCACCGUGCCCAUCGUAAACCCCGACGAAAGUGCCGUAUGGACCAGAGUCGAGAAAGCUCAACGGACCCGACUCAAUCUGACACUGGUCCUCAAGUAGGUUAUUGGCCUGGACAACAGCCAUGGAGAAGUCGCCAUUUACAUGCUCCCCAGUGUCCUUGUACCAUAGAAGUCCAUCCUGCCUACCGGUAGCAUCUGAGCCUGUCCGGGCAUGCCGGUUGGAUGAAGGUCUCCAACACGCCCGUAGAAAGUUCAUCAAUGUCACUAUCAUCCCUCAUCAGUCAUCCCACCCACGUACGCCUCCGAGCUCGCCUCAUCUGUUAUCUAAGAAAAUUGCAGUGUCACUUCUCAAUGCACCAACAGAACUCUUGCCUUUAUCCUGGAAAGAAAAAGAAACAUGUAUAAGUAUGUGAAACACAAGUAUGGCUCAUUAAUAGUACUCAACGCUUAUCACUUGCACUCGGACAGGGGCACAAUUAAAAAAAAUCAAAAUUUAUCUAUCCUUCCUUUGUUUUUUUCAAUCCAUCCAGGAGAGCUGCAUGCAUUUCUUCAGUAAUAAGUACACACUUUGUCUACCAUGUAACAUUGAAUACAAAUUCAGCAUAGUUGCUCUGUCUACAACUGAAAAGGGUCUGAGGAAUCUCCUUUGUCGUAAGUUUAUAGUACAAGCAGAUGUAGGGAAAACAAAUCAAAUUGCCUUGCUUGGUGCUUUUAGGUUCUAUGGUUCUAGUAGAAGCAACCUGGUACUGGGUAACCUACACCAUCACUGUUUUUCAUUGCAAAAGAGACAAAUGUAUAGCAUAAUAUAAUGCCUAAAUAAUGCAGCAAAAGACACAAUCGUGUCUCUGUUUGACACAAUCGAGGGCGAACAUUUCCGAUCAUACACUCAAAACAUCUAUGGCAACUCACUUACAGAAACUCAGCAAACCUAAGAUUUUACUCGAAACAUAGGCCGCAGCAAAACCUUUCCCAUCAUACAUCAAACAUCUAUGGUAACUCACUUAUAGCAACUCAUCAAACCUAAGAUUUUACAUGAAACAUAGGCUGCAACAAAACAUUUCCAAUCAUACGCUCGGAACACCUACGGCAACUCACUUAUAGCAACUCACUAAACCUAAGAUUUUGCUUGAAAACAUACGCCGGGGCAAAACAUUUUUUAAAUACUUUCACAAUCAGUUAGGAACCAAGCCUAUUCCCCAACAACUCAAUUACCCAAAACCUCAUCUACUCCCACAAACUGCAAAACUCUCUCACUCCUCAUCCUUGGCAUCACAGACUGACACUAUAGUGACCAUCAAAUGGGCAGCUACUGCAUACAACUGUGAACCAUGAUUCAGACGCCAAUUUCCCCAAAAAUCCUCCACUGGGAGCAUCUCCUAAGCACCAAAUCGAGACGAGACCCGAGCGCGGAUAGUAUCAGACCUCCCAAUCGCCACGAAACUUGGGGACAAACGGGCGCGCUGGUUGAUUGGGAUCAAGGCAGAANNNNNNNNNNNNNNNNNNNNNNNNNNNNNNNNNNNNNNNNNNNNNNNNNNNNNNNNNNNNNNNNNNNNNNNNNNNNNNNNNNNNNNNNNNNNNNNNNNNNNNNNNNNNNNNNNNNNNNNNNNNNNNNNNNNNNNNNNNNNNNNNNNNNNNNNNNNNNNNNNNNNNNNNNNNNNNNNNNNNNNNNNNNNNNNNNNNNNNNNNNNNNNNNNNNNNNNNNNNNNNNNNNNNNNNNNNNNNNNNNNNNNNNNNNNNNNNNNNNNNNNNNNNNNNNNNNNNNNNNNNNNNNNNNNNNNNNNNNNNNNNNNNNNNNNNNNNNNNNNNNNNNNNNNNNNNNNNNNNNNNNNNNNNNNNNNNNNNNNNNNNNNNNNNNNNNNNNNNNNNNNNNNNNNNNNNNNNNNNNNNNNNNNNNNNNNNNNNNNNNNNNNNNNNNNNNNNNNNNNNNNNNNNNNNNNNNNNNNNNNNNNCAGUUGUGGUAGAGAUAAGGGGAAAGAAAAGAACUUGGAGGGUACACACACCAGUAGGUACGGCGCAAGCGGAUCGGGUCGUGGCUUGUGCCCGCGCAGGCACGGCGAAGGGACUUCUCUCCGUCCUCUCCACCGGCGCCGGGGACGGACGAAGGUCGGCGGAGGGUGGUGGCGAGCGGCGGCGGCGGCAGCACGAGAAGGGGAUGAGGCGGGGAAAGGGGGUGGGGUGGGGCCGUGGGGGGAGUGCGGGCGCGCUGCAACGGCCGUUUGAUGACGUGUGGGGCUCGGACACGGACGCGAUAGAUAAGGCGGAAAAGCGCGCGCAGGCCCUCGAUGAAGAUCGUAUUCGCUGAUCGGUCCCCGUGACACGUCAACACCAAUAACGGAAAAUAUCUAUCCAGCAAAAGGUAAAAAGCACGAGGUCAAAACUCAUCGGCGAAAUGGACCCAAUGAUGAAGAUUUUGAUUGUUAUUCCAAGUUCUAGCUUCAAGAAUAAAAGCUGUUUUUUUGUCUCUUUUCUUUUUCGCUCUCGUGAUGUGGCUAUCGCAGAUCUUUCUUUUCAUCGAUCUCCGUCGACGAGCCUUAGGAUAGGAUUCGCCUCCCUCUAACUACAAAAGGUAAAAAAGCACGAGGUCAAAACUCACCGGCAAAAUGGGCGCAAUGACCAAGAUUUUGAAUUUUAUUCCGAGUUCUAGCUUGAAGAAUAAAAGCAUUUUUUUAUCUCUUUUCUUUUUCCCCCUCAUGAUGUGAUUAACGCAAAAUUUUCCUUCCAUCAAUAUUCGCCUAAGUUAAAAAAUCAUCUGAGUCCUCACUCACUCGGGCUUAGCUGCAAACCAGCUUGUGCCUAGAUUCAAAACUCAAUCAACUCAUCCAAGUGAGGACACCCUUCUCGCUCGAAAGCUUAGCUACGAGCCAGUUUGCGCCUAAGUUAAAAACUCAUCCGUGUGAGGACAUCCUUCUCACUCGGGGGUUAGCUAGUUUGCGCCUAAUCCCAAAAUUCAAUUGAAACACAUCAGCAAACAAAGCAAGGAUUCACAUAUCCGAAUAACUUUGAUCUGUUCGAGCAGUUAAAGCAAAAACAUAAGUGCACGAGCUCCGUACUCGAUCAAGUUUAACGGUUGCAUAACCACUCGGCAUACCAUGGCAAAUUCACUUGGACUCAAAGUUUUCGGUCAAGUCUCUGACGUAGGACUAGCCGGAUCAACCAACGUGUCCAACUCGAUGUCGUCCGCUAUCCGAGUGGCAGCCUCUAUGAACAUCUCAAUAAAGUCCUCGAACUUGAGCUUCUUCUUGUUGAUGACCUUGAGGGACUUCAGCUUCUCCUCCUCGACAUCCUUGCAAUGGAUGCGGACGAGUGAAAGCGCCACGUCGGCACCACAAUGGGCUGCGAAAUUCUUCCAUGAUCAUUCUGAAGUUCUUCAUCUGGAAGCAGUUUUGCGUCAAUCUUCUCCACACCGAACUCCUCGACGUACUGUUCAAGCUCAUUCUUCUUCUUGAGAAGCUCAGUGAUCUGGUCGCUUGACUUCUUCUUCUCCUCUUCAAAGGCACUCGUCUGGUUAUUGAACUUCAUCUCCCACUCGGCGUAGCUGCUCUUGAGCUCUGAAAUCUCACCUUUCAUCACUUCAGUCGCGAUCUUCAGAGUCUUGUUCUCCUCCUUGAGCUACCCCACGCUUUUCAGAGAGUCCUCAGCUGCUUUGAUUUUUGUGUUGGCGUUCUUCCAGGCCUCGGCAAGUUUGAUGUCCUUAUCCUCAAGAGCCUACUUCAUAGUUUCAAAAGAAAUACAGGUCCUGAGCCUCGUUUGGAGUUGGCAUUCUCACUACGAACAUCUGCUAAAGCGAGUUCAUUCGGAUCAAAGGAAAAACAAGCUUCGAAGAGCGGUCGAAUUCUAAAACUAACCUCCUGGGACACGCUUCUCUUUGGGCAAGGCGGUCGCUUUUAUGCCUCUCCGUCUCUAGAUCCAGGUAAAGCUGCAACACUUCCUUCUCCGAGGCAACGUAGUGAGUUCCAAGCUCACAAGCUCUCUCUUAUAAGACAAGAGAUUGAUCAGUCGACGACAAAGACGAAAACCCUUCUAAGGAAAGAACAAACUAGACCGGUACCAGAUGUUGAAGUGUGCGUUUCAAGGAAGGAACAAGCUCGGCCAAUUCGAGACAUUCUAACAAUCCUAUAUCUACGAGGCUUCUAGAAACCCCGGCAUCCACUCGGCCAGCCGGUGGAGAGUUGUGCUCCGAGUGCAAGAAUCAGCAAAAAUUCAAUUCAAAAUGAUGAGGAACGUUGCAGAAAAUAAAAAAUUUCCUACGGUUUCACCAAGAUCUAUCUAUGAGUUCAUCUAGCAACCAGUGAUCAGAUUGCAUCUACAUACCUUUGUAGAUCACGCGCGGAAGCGUUCAAAGAACGGGGAUGAGGAAGUCGUACUCGACGUGAUCCAAAUCACCGGAGAUCCUAGCGCCGAACGGACGGCACAUCCGUGUUCAACACACGUACGGUCAGCGUGACGUCUCCUCCUUCUUGAUCCAGCAAGGGGAAGGAGAGGUUGAUGAAGAUCCAGCAGCACGACGGCGUGGUGGUGGAUGCAGCAGUCACCGCAGCAGGGCUUCGACGUUCUUCUGCGAGAGGGAGAGGUGUAGCAGAGGAGAGGGAGGCGCCAAGAGUCAAGGGUGCGGCUGCCCCUCCCCCCCCCUUUAUAUAGGCUCCCCAAGGGGGGGGCGGCCCUAGGAGAUGGGAUCUCCUAGGGGGGGCGGCCAAGGGUGGAGUGGCCCCCAAGGCAAGUGGGGCGCCCCCCCCCCCACCCUAGGGUUUCCAACCCUAGGCGCAGGGGUGGGCCAAGGGGGGCGCACCAGCCCACUAUGGGCUGGUUUCCCUCCCCACUUCAGCCCAUGGGGCCCUCCGAGAUGGGUUGUCCCACCCGAUGGACCCCCGGGACCCAUCCGGUAGUCCCGGUACAAUACCGGUGACCCCCGAAACUCUCCCGAUGGCCGAAACUGCACUUUCUAUGUAUAAUUCUUCACCUCCGGACCAUUCCGAAACUCCUCGUGACGUCCGGGAUCUCAUCCGGGACUCCAACAACUUUCGGGUUACUGCAUAUUCAUAUCUCUACAACCCUAGCGUCACCGAACCUUAAGUGUGUAGACCCUACGGGUUCGGGAGACAUGUAGACAUGACCGAGAUGGCCCUCCGAUCAAUAACCAACAGCGGGAUCUGGAUACCCAUGUUGGCUUUCACAUGCUCCUCGAUGAUCUCAUCGAAUGAACCACGGUGUCGAGGAUUCAAGCAACCCCGUAUACAAUUCCCUUUCUCAAUCGGUACGUUACUUGCCCGAGAUUCGAUCAUCGGUAUCCCAAUACCUCGUUCAAUCUCGUUACCGGCAAGUCACUUUACUCGUACCGUAAUGCAUGAUCCCGUGACCGGACACUUGGUCACUUUGAGCUCAUUAUGAUGAUGCAUUACCGAGUGGGCCCAGAGAUACCUCUCCGUCAUACGGAGUGAAAAAUCCCAGUCUUGAUCCGUGUCAACCCAACAGACACUUUUGGAGAUACCCGUAGUAUACCUUUAUAGUCACCCAGUUACGUUGUGAUGUUUGGUACACCCAAAGCACUCCUACGGUAUCCGGGAGUUACACGAUCUCAUGGUCUAAGGAAAAGAUACUUGACAUUGGAAAAACUCUAGCAAACGAACUAUACGAUCUCGUGCUAUAUUUAGGAUUGGGUCUUGUCCAUCACAUCAUUCUCCUAAUGAUGUGAUAUCGUUAUCAAUGACAUCCAGUGUCCAUAGUCAGGAAACCAUGACUAUCUGUUGAUCAACGAGCUAGUCAACUAGAGGCUUACUAGGGACAUGUUGGUGUCUAUGUAUUCACACAUGUAUUACGAUUUUCGGAUAACACAAUUAUAGCAUGAAUAAAAGACAAUUAUCAUGAACAAGGAAAUAUAAUAAUAAUCCUUUUAUUAUUGCCUCUAGGGCAUAUUUCCAACAGUCUCCCACUUGCACUAGAGUCAAUAAUCUAGUUACAUUGUGAUGAAUUGAACACCCUUGGAAUUCUGGUGUUGAUCAUGUUUUGCUCUAGGGAGAGGUUUAGUCAACGGAUCUGCUACAUUCAGGUCCGUAUGUACUUUACAAAUAUCUAUGUCUCCAUCUUGAACAUUUUCACGAAUGGAGUUGAAGCGACAGUUGAUGUGCCUGGUCUUCUUGUGAAACCUGGGCUCCUUGGCAAGUGCAAUAGCUCCAGUGUUGUCACAGAAGAGUUUGAUCGGCCCCGACGCAUUGGGUAUGACUCCUAGGUCGGUGAUGAACUCCUUCACCCAAAUUGCUUCAUGCGCUGCCUCCGAGGCUGCCAUGUACUCCGCUUCACAUGUAGAUCCCGCCAUGACGCUCUGCUUGCAACUGCACCAGCUUACUGCCCCACCAUUCAAAAUAUACACGUAUCCGAUUUGUGACUUAGAGUCAUCCAGAUCUGUGUCGAAGCUAGCGUCGACGUAACCCUUUACGACGAGCUCUUCGUCACCUCCAUAAACGAGAAACAUUUCCUUAGUCCUUUUCAGGUACUACAGGAUAUUCUUGACCGCUGUCCAGUGUUCCUUACCGGGAUUACUUUGGUACCUACCUACCAAACUUACGGCAAGGUUUACAUCAGGUCUGGUACACAGCAUGGCAUACAUAAUAGAACCUAUGGCUGAGGCAUAGGAGAUGACACUCAUCUCUUCUAUAUCUUCUGCCAUGGUCGGACAUUGAGCUGAGCUCAAUUUUACAUCUUGCAACACAGGUAAGAACCUCUUCUUAGACUGAUCCAUAUUGAACUUCUUCAAUAUCUUAUCAAGGUAUGUGCUUUGUGAAAGACCUAUGAGGCGUCUUGAUCUAUCUCUAUAGAUCUUGAUGCCUAAUAUAUAUGCAGCUUCUUCAAGGUCCUUCAUUGAAAAACUCUUAUUCAAGUAGGCCUUAAUGCUGUCCAAAAGCUCUAUAUCAUUUCCCAUCAAAAGUAUGUCAUCUACAUAUAAUAUGAGAAAUGCUACAGAGCUCCCACUCACUUUCUUGUAAACACAGGCUUCUCCAUAAGUCUGCAUAAACCCAAACGCUUUGAUCAUCUCAUCAAAGCGAAUGUUCCAACUCCGAGAUGCUUGCACCAGCCCAUAAAUCGAGCGUUGGAGCUUGCACACUUUGUCAGCAUUCUUAGGAUCGACAAAACCUUCCGGCUGCAUCAUAUACAAUUCUUAUUUAAGGAAACCAUUAAGGAAUGCCGUUUUGACGUCCAUUUGCCAUAUUUCAUAAUCAUAGAAUGCGACAAUUGCUAACAUGAUUCGGACGGACUUCAGCUUCGCUACAGGUGAGAAAGUCUCAUCGUAGUCAACCCCUUGAACUUGUCGAUAACCCUUAGCGACAAGCCGAGCUUUAUAGAUGGUCACAUUACCAUCCGCGUCUGUCUUCUUCUUAAAGAUCCAUUUAUUUUCUAUGGCUCGCCGAUCAUCGGGCAAGUCAGUCAAAGUCCAUACUUCGUUUUCAUACAUGGAUCCUAUCUCGGAUUUCAUGGCUUCCAGCCAUUUGUCAGAAUCCGGGCCCGCCAUCGCUUCUUCAUAGUUCAAAGGUUCACCGUUGUCUAACAACAUGAUUUCCAAGACAGGGUUGCCGUACCACUCUGGUGCGGAACGUGUCCUUGUGGACCUACGAAGUUCAGUAGCAACUUGAUACGAAGUUUCAUGAUCAUCAUCAUUAACUUCCUCUCUAGUCGGUGUAGGCACCUCAGGAACAUUUUCUUGAGUCGCGCCACUUUCCAGUUCAAGAGGUAAUACUUCAUCAAGUUCUACUUUCCUCCCACUUACUUCUUUCGAGAGAAACUCUUUCUCUAGAAAGGAUCCAUUCUUGGCAACAAAGAUCUUGCCUUCGGAUCUGAGGUAGAAGGUAUACCCAAUAGUUUCUUUAGGGUAUCCUAUGAAGACGUAUUUUUCUGACUUGGGUUCGAGCUUUUCAGGUUGAAGUUUCUUGACAUAAGCAUCGCAUCCCCAAACUUUUAGAAACGACAGCUUAGGUUUCUUCCCAAACCAUAAUUCAUACGGUGUCGUCUCAACGGAUUUCGACGAUGCCCUAUUUAAAGUGAAUGCGGCAGUCUCUAAAGCAUAGCCCCAAAAUGAUAGCGGUAAAUCGGUAAGAGACAUCAUAGAUCGCACCAUAUCUAAUAGAGUGCGAUUAUGACGUUCGGACACACCAUUACGCUAAGGUGUUCCAGGCAGCGUGAGUUGUGAAACUAUUCCACAUUUUCUUAAGUGUGUGCCAAAUUCGUGACUCAAGUAUUCUCCUCCACGAUCUGAUCGCAAGAACUUGAUUUCCCUGUCACGUUGAUUCUCAACCUCACUCUGAAAUUCCUUGAACUUUUCAAAGGUCUCAGACUUGUGUUUCAUUAAAUAGACAUACCCAUAUCUACUCAAGUCAUCAGUGAGGGUGAGAACAUAACGAUAGCCACCGCGAGCCUCAACACUCAUUGGACCGCACACAUCAAUAUGUAUGAUUUCCAAUAAGUUGGUUGCUCGCUCCAUUGUUCCUGAGAACGGAGUCUUGGUCAUUUUACCCAUGAGGCAUGGUUCGCAUGUGUCAAAUGAUUCGUAAUCAAGAGACUCUAAAAGUCCAUCUGCAUGGAGCUUCUUUAUGCGUUUGACACCUAUGUGACCAAGGCGGCAGUGCCACAAGUAUGUGGGACUAUCAUUAUCAACCUUACAUCUUUUGGUAUUCACACUAUGAAUAUGUGUAGCAUUACGCUCGAGAUUCAUUAAGAAUAAACCAUUCACCAUCGGAGCAUCACCAUAAAACAUAUCUCUCAUAUAAAUAGAACAACCAUUAUUCUCGGAUUUAAAUGAGUAGCCAUCUCGUAUUAAACGAGAUCCUGAUACAAUGUUCAUGCUCAAACUUGGCACUAAAUAACAAUUAUUGAGGUUCAAAACUAAUCCCGUAGGUAAAUGUAGAGGUAGCGUGCCGACGGCGAUCACAUCGACCUUGGAACCAUUCCCGACGCGCAUCGUCUCCUCGUCCUUCGCCAGUCUCCGCUUAUUCCGCAGCUCCUGCUUUGAGUUACAGAUGUGAGCAACUGCACCGGUAUCAAAUACCCAGGAGCUACUACGAGUACUGGUAAGGUACACAUCAAUUACAUGUAUAUCACAUAUACCUUUUGUUUUGCUGGCCUUCUUGUCUGCUAAGUAUUUGGGGCAGUUCCGCUUCUAGUGACCACUUUCCUUGCAAUAAAAGCACCCAGUCUCGGGUUUGGGUCCAUUCUUUGGCUUCUUCCCGACAGCUUGCUUGCCGGGUGCGGCAACUCCCUUGCCGUCCUUCUUGAAGUUCUUCUUACCCUUGUGUUUCUUGAACUUAGUGGUUUUAUUCACCAUGAACACUUGAUGUUCCUUUUUGACUUCUACCUCUGCUGAUUUCAGCAUUGCAAAUACUUCAGGAAUGGUCUUUUCCAUCCCCUGCAUAUUGAAGUUCAUCACAAAGAUCUUGUAGCUCGGUGGAAGCGACUGAAGGAUUCUGUCAAUGACCGCAUCAUCCGGGAGAUUAACUCCCAGCUGAGUCAAGCGGUUAUGUAACCCUGACAUAGUGAGUAUGUGCUCACUGAUAGAACUAUUUUCCUCCAUCUUACAGCUGAAGAACUUGUCGGAGACUUCAUAUCUCUCGACCCGGGCAUGAGCUUGAAAAACCAUUUUCAGCUCUUUGAACAUCUCAUAUGCUCCGUGUCUCUCAAAACACUUUUGGAGCCCCGGUUCUAAGCUGUAAAGCAUGCCGCACUGAACGAGGGAGUAAUCAUCAGCACGUGUCUGCCAAGCGUUCAUAAGUCUUGUUCCGCAGGGAGAACAGGUGCGUCACCUAGCGGUGCUUCUAGGACAUAAUCUUUCUUUGUAGCUAUGAGGAUGAUCCUCAGGUUCCGGACCCAGUCCGUAUAAUUGCUGCCAUCGUCUUUUAGCUUGGUUUUCUCUAGGAACGCGUUGAAGUUGAGGACAAUGUUGGCCAUUUGAUCUACAAGACAUAUUGUAAAUAUUUUAGACUAAGUUCAUGAUAAUUAAGUUCAUCUAAUCAAAUUAUUUAAUGAAAUCCCACUUAGAUAGACAUCCCUCCAGUCAUCUAAGUAUAACAUGAUCCGAGUUAACUAGGCCGUGUCCGAUCAUCACGUGAGACGGACUAGUCAAUAUCGGUGAACAUCUUCAUGUUGAUCGUAUCUUCUAUACGACUCAUGCUCGACCUUUCGGUCUUCUAUGUUCCGAGGCCAUGUCUGUACAUGCUAGGCUCGUCAAGUCAACCUAAGUGUUUGCAUGUGUAAAUCUGUCUUACACCCGUUGUAUGUGAAUGUUGGAAUCUAUCACACCCGAUCAUCACGUGGUGCUUCGAAACAACGAACUGUCGCAACGGCGCAUAGUUAGGGGGAACACUUUCUUGAAAUUAUUAUGAGGGAUCAUCUUAUUUACUACCGUCGUUCUAAGUAAACAAGAUGCAAAAACAUGAUAAACAUCACAUGCAAUCAAAUAAUAAUAGUGACAUGAUAUGGCCAAUAUCACAUAGCUCCUUUGAUCUCCAUCUUGGGGCUCCAUGAUCAUCUUGUCACCGGCAUGACACCAUGAUCUCCAUCAUCAUGUCUCCAUGAAGUUUCUCGCCAACUAUUACUUCUACUACUAUGGCUAACACGUUUAGCAAUAAAGUAAAGUAAUUUACAUGGCGUUUCUCAAUGACACGCAGGUCAUACAAAAAAUAAAGACAACUCCUAUGGCUCCUGCCGGUUGUCAUACUCAUCGACAUGCAAGUCGUGAUUCCUAUUACAAUAGCAUGAACAUCUCAUACAUCACAUAUAUAUCAUUCAUCAUUCAUCACAACUUUGGCCAUAUCACAUCACAAAACACUUGCUGCAAAAACAAGUUAGACGUCCUCUAAUUGUUGUUGCAAGUUUUACAUGGCUGCAAUAGGGUUCUAGCAAGAACGUUUUCUUACCUACGUGAAAGACACAACGUGAUUUGUCAACUUCUAUUUACCCUUCAUAAGGACCCUUUUCAUCGAAUCCGCUCCAAUUAAACUGGGAGAGACAGACACCCGCCAGCCACCUUAUGCAACUAGUGCAUGUCAGUCGGUGGAACCGGUCUCACGUAAGUGUACGUGUAAGGUUGGUCCGGGCCGCUUCAUCCCAUAAUACCGCUGAAGCAAAAUAAGACUAGUAGCGGCAAGAAAGUUGACAACAUCUACGCCCACAACAAAUUGUAUUCUACUUGUGCAAAGAGAACUACGCAUAGACCUAGCUCAUGAUGCCACUGAUGGGGAACGUUGCAGAAAACAAAAAAUUUCCUACGGUUUCACCAAGAUCCAUCUAUGAGUUCAUCUAGCAACGAGUGAUCGGAUUGCAUCUACAUACCUUUGUAGAUCACGCGCGGAAGCGUUCAAAGAACGGGGAUGAGGAAGUCGUACUCGACGUGAUCCAAAUCACCGGAGAUCCUAGCGCCGAACGAACGGCACCUCCGUGUUCAACACACGUACGGUCAGCAUGACGUCUCCUCCUUCUUGAUCCAGCAAGGGGAAGGAGAGGUUGAUGAAGAUCCAGCAGCACGACGGCGUGGUGGUGGAUGCAGAAGUCACCGCAGCAGGGCUUCGCCGUUCUUCUGCGAGAGGGAGAGGUGUAGCAGAGGAGAGGGAGGCGCCAAGAGUCAAGGUUGCGGCUGCCCCUCCCUCCCCUCCUUUAUAUAGGCUCCCCAAGGGGGGGGGCGCCGGCCCUAGGAGAUGGGAUCUCCUAGGGGGGCGGCGACCAAGGGUGGAGUGGCCCCCAAGGCAAGUAGGGCGCCCCCCACCCUAAGGUUUCCAACCCUAGGCGCAGGGGGUGGGCCAAGGGGGGCGCACCAGCCCACUAUGGGCUGGUUCCCCUCCCCACUUCAGCCCAUGGGGCCCUCCGGGAUGGGUGGUCUCACCCUAUGGACCCCCGAGACCCAUCCGGUGGUCCCGGUACAAUACCGGUGACCCCCGAAACUCUCCCGAUGGCCGAAACUGCACUUCCUAUAUAUAAUUCUUCACCUACGGACCAUUCCGGAACUCUUCGUGACGUCCGGGAUCUCAUCCGGGACUCCGAACAACUUUUGGGUUAAUGCAUAUUCAUAUCUCUACAACCCUAGCAUCACCGAACCUUAAGUGUGUAGACCCUACGGGUUCGGGAGACAUGUAGACAUGACCAAGAUGGCCCUCCGGUCAAUAACCAACAGCGGGAUCUGGAUACCCAUGUUGGCUUCCACAUGCUCCUCGAUGAUCUCAUCGGAUGAACCACGAUGUCGAGGAUUCAAGCAACCCCGUAUACAAUUCCCUUUGUCAAUCGGUAUGUUACUUGCCCGAGAUUCGAUCGUCGGUAUCCCAAUACCUCGUUCAAUCUCGUUACCGGCAAGUCACUUUACUCGUACCGUAAUGCAUGAUCCCGUGACCAGACACUUGGUCACUUUGAGCUCAUUAUGAUGAUGCAUUACCGAGUGGGCCCAGAUAUACCUCUCCAUCAUACGGAGUGACAAAUCCCAGUCUUGAUCCGUGUCAACCCAACAGACACUUUUGGAGAUACCCGUAGUAUACCUUUAUAGUCACCCAGUUACGUUGUGAUGUUUGGUACACCCAAAGCACUCCUACGGUAUCCGGAAGUUACACGAUCUCAUGGUCUAAGGAAAAGAUACUUGACAUUGGAAAAACUCUAGCAAACGAACUAUACGAUCUCGUGCUAUGUUCAGGAUUGGGUCUUGUCCAUCACAUCAUUCUCCUAAUGAUGUGAUCUCGUUAUCAAUGACAUCCAAUGUCCAUAGUCAGGAAACCAUGAGUAUCUGUUGAUCAACGAGCUAGUCAACUAGAGGCUUACUAGGGACAUGUUGGUGUCUAUGUAUUCACACAUGUAUUAUAAUUUCCGGAUAACACAAUUAUAGCAUGAAUAAAAGACAAUUAUCAUGAACAAGGAAAUAUAAUAAUAAUCCUUUUAUUAUUGCCUCUAGGGCAUAUUUCCAACACAAAAUACUACCCGGCACGACAUACAAUGGUCAAUUCAUUACAUGCAAUGGUAUUAAUUAGCAAAUAAACAUUAAGUUUUCUCGUUUUCCCCUCUUCUUUGGUCACGGUGCACAACGUAAGGCUGGUCAUAGUGGGGAGUAACUUAGACUAGUAACAUGCAUAUGUUACUAGUCUAUGUUACUACCUCUAUAGUACAUAGUAUCAUAGAUGGUCUUAUUUAUUGCCAUGCAUGACACAUAGUAGCACCACAUUUAUUAUUUUACGGUAUCUACCUAUGUUACUAUAACCAUCUCUCUCUUCUUUAAUUGCCUGUCACAUAAGCAUGUUUGCGAGUUCCAAGUACAUGAUACUACUUAUGUUACCCCUACUAUGGCCAGCCUAAGAUGACUUAGUGGGUGCUUGGAUCCAAGGGACUUUAUUUAUUCUGACUAAAAAUAGUCUCUUUAAGAGCAACUCUAGCAGACCCCGCAUCCUCCCGACCCGCAAAACGUUUUUGCAGUUUGCGGAAAAACGUCUUUGCGGGUCGGUGCAGACGGCCGCAGUUGCAUACCCCGCAUAAUGGACCCGUAAAAAAGGAUAUUUCUAGAAUAUGCUUUUUUACGAGUUGGGGUUGCAGCGUCUGAUCUGGCGCAUCUCCUCUCGGCCCGCAAAACUUAAAUUUGCAACUCAAUUUGAUCUAGCAUAUUGCAUUGUUUUGACAACAUUGGAUACAAAAAGCAUCACCAAAUCUUUGCUAGAAUAGCAAGACCAAAGUAAACAAGAAUUACAAGAAUGCAUUUUAGAAGGUUUCUAAUUUCCAUAACUGCUCCCGCUAGUUGGACUAAUAUCUUCUCCAUGCAUUCGUUGUUGAUCUGUGGAUUCUUGAUUUUGCAUUCUUCUUUCUUCAUCUUUGGUUCAGAAGAAGUAGAUGUUGCUUCCCCUCUAGUUGCACAUGCAGACGCAUCAUUGCCUUCAAUUGUACUAAGGAGUGCACUAACAUCUAUUAAAUUUCUUUCUAUCAACAAUGUAUUGCCCUUCCCAAAACCAAAAUGAGCAUCCUUCGUCCUACACAAAAGAAUGAGCAAGCUCGAAGUGAGCCACCGCAGUUUAGCUAAAGAAUGAACUGUGAAACGAGCUACCGCAAGUGCACGUACCCCGUCGAUUUCACUUUGAAGAACACCCAUCCAAUGUGCUUCGGCAUGCUUGAAGUGAGCCGCAUCACUUUCCGCGUGCAGUCGUCACACUCUAUGAGCGGCAUCGGCAAGCCACAAAGACGCUGCGCGAGCGCCGAGCCCGGUGGACGGCCUGACAAACUCGCACUGCAUGCGGCGAUGCGCCCUUGCCUGGGCUGCGGGAGAAGCUCCCCGACCACUCCAUCGCUUGGUGCAGCAAACCGGUGGUCGAAAAAAGCCAAAUCCGGCGGCCCGCGAUGAAGCCGAUGCAAGGGGAGGGGGGAGGCCUCGUGCGCGUGGUGGCCUUCCGGCGUGCUCCUGCCGGCUGCGGUCGCCGGAAUCUUGGGCGGCGGCCGACGGCGCGAGAGGGGAGAGGAGAGGUGGUUGGUGGGAGAAAGCGCGGGAUGAAAUGUCCCCCCACCAACCGCUUCCGCUUAUAUGCAGGGCACCGCAGCCGCGAGGGGGAAACCCGCGUUUUCCCGGGUUGGGCUCGGGAUUUUGCCGCACCCCCUAAAAAAAAUUGCGGGCCGGGGCGGGAUGCGGGGUCUGAUCGGGUGGGUUUUUUCGCCCCAGCCCGCAUUUUAACGGUUAUUUUACGAGUCGGGGCGGGAUGGGGGUCUGCUAGAGUUGCUCUAAGAGGCUAAAGUUCCAAGCACCCCUGACUAAAGAGGGGUUAAAACUAGUCUUGAGACUAAAAUAAUUUAGUCAGGGAUACCCCUACUAAAAUGUGGAUUAGUCCUCUCUCUCCUCAUUUAACUCCUCUCCUUUAACAUAGUCGAGUUCUGAAUUGGAGGGUUUGGAGGAUAAUAAAUGCUCAUUAACUUGAUUUUAGUUUCUUUAGUAUUUGGAUCCAAGCAUGGGUGAGGCUAGCAAAUUUUAGUCCCACUACUUUUAUUCAUGAGAUUAAAACGUAUCCAAGCACCCUCUUAUGCACCGGUACGGAGAGAGUACUAUAUAUGAACCUUUAGAAAACCAGUUUUUAUAAUUGUAGUCUCCUUUCUGAUCCUUCAUUUUGCGUGCCAUUAAUUAAUUAAUUGAAUUUUCUUGAUAUUAUCUCUCUUCCCCAUGAAUGUGAUGUGCAUUGGUUCGCUCGUUCACACGGAGGGUGAGACUUUGCCGCCAGCUACACAUACCAACCUACCUGUAUGUCUGUCUCUUAGUGUUCAUCGCCUUCACCCAAUUGAUCAGUCAAGAAAAGGCACGUAGACAAAGAGAUCUCAGUUGUAUUCUCGAAAAAUUAUAAGGAAAACAGUUAUAUAUUUUUUAAGGAACUGACAGUCUUAUCUUGGUAAAUAUUUUUAACAUCCAAUGCAAAAAAAAAACUAUUUUUAAACUACAAUCGCAGAUGCUCACAUACUCCCUAUAUUAUGAGCACCUCCGAAAUAACUAAAUACACCUAAAUACUCUUAUGUGGAAAGAGAGAUUGUUUUUGUGUGUGAAUAAUACGGAAAUUUUAUUCCAAAGUCACAGGGUUAUAGUCGAGAGGCAAUAAGUCCUCACAACAUGGAGGACAUCUGUUCAUCCAUACUGUAGUACAAGACUCGGCACGGCUAUAAUUUGCCAUACAAUCAGCUACUCCCUCCGUUCCUAAAUAUAAGUCUUUUUAGAGAUUCUACUAUGGACUACAUACGGAACAAAAUGAGUAAAUCUACACUCUAAAAUAUGUCUAUAUACAUCCGUAUGUAGUUUCGUAGUGGAAUCCCUAAAAAGACUUAUAUUUAGGAACGGAGGGAGUACCUUAUUUUGAGUCCUAAUUUUCAUGUCUUAAUUAAGAGAAGGCAAGCUUUUCUAUGUUUUCUCCUCCUCUUAUCUCAGCAUUUAUUCUCUACAUGGCAUUCAUUCAUAAGAUAACACCAUUGUACACGCCUUAGCUCAGGAUCGUCAAUCUUGAUUCCAUCAGUCUAAAACUCCAACGAGAUCCUGUUGUGUUGUUCUGGAACAGGUCUGAAACAUGGACAUCUUCGUCUCAACUCUCAACUUUUGCUUGCGUCUGAAAAGCGGUUGGCGACAGAGGAUGUGCGCUUUCCUAGUUGUAAGUUUACAUCAUUUAUGAUCUCUUCCCGGACCAAACAUGAAUCUUUCGACUCAUUUGGGUCUCACGCUCCGCUCCUCUUGGUCGAGUCUGAUGGACAGUGUGACUGAAUGCAACAGUUUUGUUCCAUAUUCAAGCGUCGCGAUCGAGAUUAAAAGUCUGACAGACGAUAUUACUGGCUAGUUACCUACUCCUAUUUUCCUUUCUUUUGUGGCGUGCUGCCAAGCCACCCAAAGAUGACUCGUUGUUGACUCAUGGCCAGCCUCCACCUCCACUUGCUGCUCUCCAAUUACAGGUCAAGCGCGUGAAGGAUUAAACAAUCCUACUUGCGAGUCCCAUGGCAACCUCUUGUUACUUUCUCAAGGUUAUCCAGCAAGUAGCCUCUAAUCUGCCGGUGCUGAAGAAUUAGCCAUGCAUCAUCGGAGGACAAGUAGUGUACCUAGCAUUAGCAAGCACGUCGUGUCUAGUCUAUGCAAGCCCGCGCAGAGGACAAGUGUAUGGGCAGCAUCAUCGGAUGGAUGCAAUUUACGCAGCACAUCUCCAUCAGUCGGCGCUUCCGGACAAGCACGCCUUGAUUAACGUCUCCGAGCUCAGCCGUCCUUCUCACGCCGACGACUCGUUUGGGCUUUGGCUGUGCCUGCUUCCUCCUCGCCGGCCCACCUACUGCAUCUGAUUCUGAUCUGAUAUCGGGGGUGAUCGCUCGCUCGAUGACAUGAUCAUACAAAAUAAAAUAUCAGCAGAUUUGGCCAAACACCAGAGGCUGGGAGCAUGAGUGUGUGUGCCAUGCAUGGCCGUAUGAUGAAGAUGAACACGCCUGCUGCUUGCUGAUCUAGCUAGCUUUGCCAUUAUUAGCGAGACGGAUGGAGACUGCUGCACCUAUCUGCAUCUACCUGCGUGAAUCAUCACGCCGGUCCUCGUCUCCUUCCCUUCCGUCGCCUCUUUCACGUGUGGGGUGUGAGGCGCCGGGCCCCUCCUCCUCAACCUGCUUCCUUCUUUCUUCUUCUUUUUCACCGAAGCAGCACGUGACAAUCUAUAUAGAGAACAAUCAGAAGGAAUGGAGGAGAAAUGGAAAUCAAAUCAAAUCGCACAAGAUCUCCAAAUGCUGACCCUCACUCAAAUCAGACACCGAUACGGGAGCUGGCCGUCCAACCAUAUCCACAUACAAGUUUGAAUUAAAAAAAACUUAUCGCUCGGAAUAGCGUGAUCACCAGAAAAAAGUAAAGAAAGCAUAGCAAUUGAAAAGAAAAAACUGAAACAAUAGUGCUUUCCACCAUUGUGACUUGAAAAAAAUUAGUGCCUUCUGCUAUUAUGAGCACUUGAAAAGUAAAAAAGAGUGUAGCACUUGAAGGAAAAAAAAAGCGAAACAAUAAUGAUUCCGCCAAAUGCUAGCAACCUUCCGCCCAAGAGUAAAAAAAUUAGCAUCGGCUUUCCGUCAUCCAGACAGAGAGAGGGCACGUGGUGGCUUUGGAUUGGCCAGACGGAUGUACGGACUCUUGCAAAGCUCCCCUUUGUUUGUCUCUUGUUUGUGAAAAACAGACGUCUGGACGCGUCGACGGACCGAUGUGGGACUGUGUUGGAUGGCAAACUGUAUCCGGACAAUGUGGUCCAGAUAUAUGCAUUUUGGAGACGCCCUAAAUGCAACAUGUGGGGAACAUGUAAUUAAAUACUUGGUUAAGCUGAGUCACAAGUGGAAAUUCAAGGGAUGCCCACGGACGCAUAUAAACGGAUUUAUGAUAAUCUAAAAAAUGAUGGAAUUCAAUAUGGUUAACGAGGUUAUUCUUUUUUCUAAAAGCUUAAAUAUUCCAUGUUCCAUGAACAUUUCUAUGAUGUACUAGAUCUUUUGAAAUUCUCUGUUUUUCAGAAACGUGAUACAACGGUAGGCAAUCAGAUACACGCACAUCCACACAUCUAUGAGUAAGGUCUAGGAUCAAACCCAUGUUUACCAAAAGAAACCUAACCAACAAAGCCAAGCUCACUUGACCCUAGUUUUCCAUUUUCCUUCAAUUAUCCUUUUUUUCCUUAUUAGUUUUCAUGUAAGUAUCUAUUAUUUUACAAAAGAAUAAUUUUCUUGUAACUUUUUGAAAACUGUGAAUUUUUAUGUUGACUAGGUUGCCAUUUGUGAAACCAAUGUUUAGUAGGAUUUUCAAUGGAACAAAUCACCAGAUUAAGAUAAUUUAGGCACUUAGAGCAUCUGUGGCUAGACCCAUUAUAUUGCUCCUAUAUGUCCAGACGAACAGGACGAUCAGUGCAUAAAUACAUUUACACUCGCCUAAUAUCCCAAAAAAUACACAUAAGAAUAAACUAAAAAAGAAAAAAGAAGAAAGAUGCAUAAAAAACGAAAAAGAAACAAAGAAAGAGAGGGGAGGGCUGGGUCGUCAGAUGGGCUAAUUAGAGCUAGCUCGGUAGCAUAGCUAACUGGGCUUCAGCCCUUGAAGAAUUAUCUGACCGAAAACUGUGGCCAGUCAAAAUUUUCGAGCCCGAAACAAGACAUACCACAGAACAAGAAAAAAUUUAUUUCUCAAAGACAAAACAAGAAAAAAAAAUGAGCAUGAGUCUUGGGAGCAGCAAUCAACGGUUAGAAAAAUCGACUGAUCCAAAUUUAAUUUUCAAGGGAUCUACAUAUUGCUAAACAGGCACUUCCUCCGUUUCUAAAUAUAUUUUUAAACAUUUCAAAUAGACUACAACAUACGGAUGUAUGUAGAUAUAAUUUAAAGUGUGCAUUCACUCAUUUUGCUUCGUAUGUAGCCAUUUGUUAAAAUCUCUAAAAAAGACUUAUAUUUAGAAACGGAGGAAGUACCAAUUAGUAGUACAAAUUAACAAGACGAUCGAAUUGAUUGAUGAACUUAAUCCCCACAAAAUUAGUACUAUCAUAUAUACAACAUUGAGGCAAAUCAUGGUGAUUGAUGAACUUAAUCCCCAUAAAAUUAGUACUAUCAUAUAUACAACACUGAGGAGGCAAAUCAUGGUCGAUUGUUUACGCCGAAAAGAACAUCCGAGCACAAUCAUCGAUCAUUCUAGGAACGGGUAAUCAGUGUAUCCGACGGCGGGGUGGGCGGCGCCGGCGCCGGCGCCGUAGAAGGUGGCGCUGACGCAGUCGUUGAGCGGCGCGCCGAGCUCGAACCUCCUCGGCAGGUCCGGGUUCGCCAGGAAGAGCCGCCCGUACGCCACCAGGUCGGCGUACCCCUCGCCGACGGCCGCGUCGCCCUCCUCCCGCCCGUACCCGCCGCUGGCGAUGAACGUGCCGCCGAACGCCUCCCUGUAAGGCAGCAGCCGCCGGGACACGCGCCGCCGGCCGUCCACCUUGGGCUCGAUCAUGUGGCAGUAGAGCACGCCGAGGUCGUUGAGCCGGCUGACGACAUGGAGCGCCAGCGCGUGCUCGUCCGGCUCUGCGGUGAACUGGUCCAGUCGCAGGCCCAGGCGGUGGCCGCCGAUCUCCCGCGCCACGGCGUCCACCACCUCCAGCGCGAACCGGCAGCGACUCUCCGGGCCACCGCCGUCGACGACGAAGUAGCCGUUGGUGCCUUGGAGCUCGACGCCGUCGAAGCCUGCCAUGGCACGGCACGGUUGGUGUCUGAUUUCAGAAGUGAAACAGGGGAGCUCGAAAAAGAAAACUGAAACGACGGUCUCCCACGCGCGCACCGGCAUCGAUGGCGUUCCUGGCGGCGCGUCUGAACGCGUCGACGACGCCGGGCGCGUCCUCAGCUGCCACCCUCCUCGGCGACGUGAGCUCCUCGCGGCGGCCAUCAUAGCUCAUCUGCGGGCUCACCUGCUGCCUUUCCCUGACGGCGUCGCCGGGGGCGGCCGCGGCGUGCCAGAGCUGGCAGAAGAAGACGGCGCCCUCGGCGUGCACGGCGUCGACCACGGGCCUCCACGCCUCGACCUGCUCCGGCGCCCAGACCCCCGGCAUGUCCCUGAACGAGGCCGGCUCCUCGUCCUGCCUUGCCGGCGCGACGCGCGUGGCCUCGGAGAUGAGGAGGCCGCCGGGGGUGGCGCGCUGGGAGUAGUAGAGGGCGGCGUGCGGCUGCGGCACGCCGCCGUAGGCGCGCUGCCGCGUCAUGGGCGCCAGCACGACCCGGUGCGACAGCUCGAACUGGCCCAUCUUGUACGGCGUGAGCAGAGGGAUGGGCUCCAUCUCGGAUCCGCUCCGCUGCUCAGAAGCUGAGCAAUGGCGGCUGAGAUUUGCUUGCAGGGAGACAGAACUGGCGGUGGAUGCGGGAGGUCAAAGAUUUUGAUCGACGGUGGCGGCACUCCACUGAUUACCACCACGGAGUGGCUGUCGGAGUCACGGUGCGGUCGGUCCGUCUUGUCUGGUCAUCAGAGGUCCAGCGCGGGGCCAUCGCUGAAGCACGGCGAGGUCACGGCGCCAUGGCGACCAAACGAUCGGAAGAUAGUAGUGGAAGAGUUGCCGGCGAUCUCAUCUUUCUUGUGUGAAGUAUCGGCAGAGACGAGCAGCCCAAGACGCGACAACUACGUUAACUUGCUUGUUUUCUGGCAGAGAGGCGAGAUUAUCCGGCCUCCUACGUGUCGUGAGCGCACCGGUGCUACAAGUUGCACGACAGCGAGGUGGCGCGAAAGCUCCCUGCAGCAAGCACCGCACGGCAAGCAACCGCCGACCGGCUCUACGUCAGGAUGCCUUACCAGAGCGAUGAGGAGACUGAGAAGUAGAAAGAAUUCCUAAAUUCUCCGAUAUAUAAUUCCUAAUGACUCAAAACAUUUUUCUAAACACAACUCGGCCGCUAAAAACGAUCAAGCAAUAGGGCUUCAAAGGUCGGGGAAGGCUCUGAUACCAACUUGUAACACCCUCGAUGCGACUAUAGCUCCCACGUGUCGAGGCACGACUUAGAGACAUAAUCGCAUUGAAGGCAUAUGUCGCAAGUUAGACAAUCUUCACAACAUCCCAUAUAAUAUAAAUAAUAAAGGGAAGAUAACAUAGUUGGCUUACACUCGCCACGUCAAUCAAGUACAUAAAUAACAUUACAUCAUCCAAACACUCAUGGCCCGACUACGGCGCCAAAAUAAAAGAGAACCAAACAUGCGACACGGUCCCAAUCACCCCCAACUGGGCACCACUACUGAUCAUCGGGAAGGAAACAUAGUAACGUUGAGAGUCUUCGUCGAACUCCCACUUGAGCUCAUACGCGUCUCCUGGAGCGGAAUCAUCAGGCCCUGCAUCUGGUGUAACAGUAAUCUGUGAGCCAUAGGGACUCAGCAAUCUCGCACCCUCGCGAUCAAGACUAUUUAAGCUUAUAGGUAUGGCAAGGUAAAAUAUAAGUGGAGCUGCAGCAAGCGACUAACAUAUAUGGUGGCUAACUUAUUCGCAAAAAAGAGCGAGAAGAGGAGGCAAAGCGCGAGCGAGAAACUAGAGAACCACCUGCGCAAACAUUACUCCAACACUGUGUCCACUUCCCGGACUCCGCCGAGAAGAGGCCAUCGCGGUAACACACUCGGUUGAUUCAUUUUAAAAUAAGUUAAGGUUCAAGUUAUCUACAACUGGACAUUAACAAAUUCUCAUCUGCCCAUAACCGCGGGCACGGCUUUCGAAAGUUCAAAUCCCUGCAGGGGAGUCCCAACUUAGCCCAUGACAAGCUCUUACGGUCAACGAAGGAAUAGACCUCCUCCCAAGACGUUCCGAUCAGACUCGGUAUCUCGGUAAUUCAAGACACUUCGACAGGUUAAAACAAGACCAGCAAUACCGUUUGAAUGUGCCGACAAAUCCCGAUAGGAGCUGCACAUAUCUCGUUCUCAGGGCACACUCAGAUAGGUCAAGCUACGAGUAAAACCAACCCUCAAGUUUCCCCGAGGUGGCCCCGCAGGCUGCCCGGUUUGGACCAACACUCAGAGGGAGCACUGGCCCGGGAGGGUUAAAAUAAAAUGACCCUUGGGCUCCGGAAACUCAAGAGAAAAAGAGGCUAGGUGGCGAAUGGUAAAACCAAGGUUGGGCAUUGCUGGAAAAGCUUUAAUCAAGGCGAACUAUCAAGGGGUUUCCAUUAUCACCCAACCGCGUAAGGAACGCAAAAUCCGGAAACAUAACACCGAUAUGACGGAAACUAGGGCGGCAAGAGUGGAACAAAACACUAGGCGAGAGGCCGAGCCUUCCACCCUUUACCAAGUAUAUAGAUACAUUAAGAUAGCAAGAUAAUAUAAUGAUAUCCCAACAAGUAAAUAAAUGUUCCAAAAAGGAACGGCCUCCAAUCUUCACCUGCAACUAGCAAUGCUAUAAGAGGGGCUGAGCAAAGCGAUAACAUAGCCAAUCAACGGUUUGCUAGGACAUGGUGGGUUAGAGGUUUGACAUGGCAAUUUGGGAGGCUUAAAAGCAAAUGGUAGGCAUCGUAGCAUUGGCAUAGCAAAAGAGCGAGCAAACUAGCAUAGCAAAGAUAGUAGUGAUUUCGAGGGUAUGACCAUCUUGCCUGCACAGUUGUUAGAGUUGACUGGAUCCUCGAAAGCAAACUCAACGGGCUCCUCGUUAGCAAACUCGUCUCUCGGCUCUACCCAAACAAGACAACCAAGCAACAAGGAUACAAUCAACCACGUGCAAAAUCAAACAACACGAUGCAAAGAUGAUAUGCUAUGUGGGAUGCGAUGCGGGAUGCAAAAUACAAGAUGUGACAGGAAAUGCAUGAACCUGGCCUCAACUUGAAAAUUCAAGUGUGCCACUGGAAAGAUGAGAUGAAAUCGCUUGAAAACUAUAUAAAGAACGCCGGAAUCGGAGUUACGGUUUGGAAAUGGCAAGCGAUUCAAAUAUGACACCGGUCUGCGAUUUACAGCAAGUAGGCAUCUAAAUGCAAUGGAAUGAACAUGCUACAGCACCCAAACAUGACAAAAAAUACAUGACAGGGAUGUAUACAAGAUGCUUAACAAAAGUCUAGCACUAAGCUACGGCCAAUUCAUCCAUUAACAGGUUCAAACAAGGAUGGCAAAAAAUACAAAUGACAAACAGAUCUCAGACUUAGUGAAGUUAACACUUGUCUGGAAUUUCAGAUCAGGUAGCCCUUUUCGGAGCAACAAAACUACAUGCUACAGGACCUGAACAUGACAAAGUAAAGCAUGGCAUGGAGCUACUCAAAGAUCUUAACAAAAGUCCCUUAGUGACCUUGAGCCAAAAGGGAUCAGAAAAUACAAUUGCAAGCAAGUGAACAUAGCAAAAACAUAAUCAGUUUUCAUACUUAGUGAAAACUGGAGCAAGCUGAAAUAUAACUCAAGUAGGCAUGUUUACGAGCUCGAUGCACUCACUACGGUGCAAGUCAUGGAAAGACAAACAUACACCCAUAAAGAAGGCACAAAAUUCAAGCUAGACAUAGUAAGAACAAUAGCAUAGCAUGCACGGAUCAACUACAACAUCACCGGCAAAAUUGCAAACAAGUUGAUAAUCUGCCCAGAUUCACAAAGUAGCAAAAGUAGAGCUCGAUUGACUCAAGUUAGGGUGCUCCAUAAUUGCAAACAAAGGCAUGGUUGGAUAGAGCACUACAAUAUUAACAAAACUCCCUUAAUUAUCAUCCUCAAAAGAGGCACGGAUCACUAGGAAACAACAUGAACAUAUGGCAUCAUGAGAUAAACAGGUCCAGGACUUAGUGAAAUUACUGUCCCUGAAAACAGAAUUAGCAAGUGCACCACUUUGCAAGCUUGCACAAGUCUCCACACACAUCACAAAAAUACAUGGGUUGCACCUCUGGAAAGAUGACAAAACCCUUAACAAAACACAUGUAGAACUCACGGGCAUAUCAUGCACACAAUAAUCAUGGCAAAAAUGACAAAAGUGCUAAACGGAGUAGCAGAUCUGACAAUUAACUCAAGUAGCCCUCUUCUAACAGCAUUUCGGGCAUCAAGAUGAGCUCAAAUGAAAAUGAUGCAAUGGAAUGAAAUGAUGUACUCUCUGAGAUGAACAUUUUGAUAUGCUAUAUACAUGAAUCGAAACUACGGAUGCAAAGUUACAGAGCUACGAACAUGUGCAUAUGGACUGAAAAUAUCUGGGACUUAGACGAAAAUGACCUAGGGUCUUUUGGAUCUAGAUCUCGCGCACGGAAAUUGAGGCGGGGCCGGGCCCUGUAGGCCAGCGGGGAAGGAGCUCGCCGGAGCCGGCGGCGGAAGCAGCGGCCGGGCGAGGCGGCGGCGGCGGNNNNNNNNNNNNNNNNNNNNNNNNNNNNNNNNNNNNNNNNNNNNNNNNNNNNNNNNNNNNNNNNNNNNNNNNNNNNNNNNNNNNNNNNNNNNNNNNNNNNNNNNNNNNNNNNNNNNNNNNNNNNNNNNNNNNNNNNNNNNNNNNNNNNNNNNNNNNNNNNNNNNNNNNNNNNNNNNNNNNNNNNNNNNNNNNNNNNNNNNNNNNNNNNNNNNNNNNNNNNNNNNNNNNNNNNNNNNNNNNNNNNNNNNNNNNNNNNNNNNNNNNNNNNNNNNNNNNNNNNNNNNNNNNNNNNNNNNNNNNNNNNNNNNNNNNNNNNNNNNNNNNNNNNNNNNNNNNNNNNNNNNNNNNNNNNNNNNNNNNNNNNNNNNNNNNNNNNNNNNNNNNNNNNNNNNNNNNNNNNNNNNNNNNNNNNNNNNNNNNNNNNNNGUGACAGCGCGCUAGUGGGCGCGGGCGGCGGCGGACAUUGUCCGGCCCGCUCUGAACACGUCCGGCGGCGGCGGUGGUGGAUCUAGGGUUAGGGGGGAGAGUGGAACCGCGAAUUUGAAGGAGGGGUCUAUUUAUAGGCAUAGAGGGAGCUAGGGGAGUCCAAAUGAGGUGCGGUUUUCGGCCACGCGAUCGUGAUCGAGCGCUCUAGAUGAUGAAGCAGAGCUAGGUGGGUUUUGGGCCAAUUUGGAGGGGUGUUGGGCUGCAACACACACGAGGCCUUUUCGGUCCCUCGGUUAACCGUUGGAGUAUCAAACGAAGUCCAAAUGGUAUGAAACUUGACAGGCGGUCUACCGGUAGUAAAUCAAGGCCGCUUGAUAAGUCUCGGUCCAAUCCGGAAAUGUUUAAUCCACACACACGAAAGAAAGCUAGAAAUGACCACCGGAGGAGAACGAAGCGCCGGAAUGCAAAACGGACAACGGGGAAAAUGCUCGAAUGCAUGAGACGAAGACGUAUGCAAAUGCAAUGCACAUGAUGACAUGAUAUGAGAUGCAUGACAAUGACAACAACACAUGGAGACAAAAACCCGAACCUGAGAAAAAUAAAAUAACUUAACGCCGGAAACGGCAAGAGUUGGAGUACAAAUAGGGAAAGUUACAUCCGGGGUGUUACAACACUCCACCACUACGAAAGGAUCUCGUCCCGAGAUCUAGGACUGAAAGAACGCCGGGUACUCAGAACGGAGGUGAUCCUUGCGUUCCCAGGUAGCUUCACGGUUGGACCACUUGACUUUGAGAAAUUUGAUUGACUUGUUGCGAGUCUUGCGUUCAGUCUCUUCAAGAAUAGCAACUGGGUGCUCACGAUAAGAGAGAUCUUCUUGUAGCUCAAUGUCCUCGAAGUUGACGGUGCGGUCAGGAGUCUUGAAGCACUUUCGAAGCUCAGAGACAUGAAACACAUCAUGAACAUUUGCAAAGUUUGAAGGAAGCUCGAGUUGAUAGGCGAGGUCGCCUCUCUUGCUGACAAUCUGCCCAGAUUCACAAAGUAACAAAAGUAGAGCUCGAUUGACUCAAGCUAGAGUGCUCCAUAAUUGCAAACAAAGGCAUGGUUGGAUAGAGCACUAUAAUAUUAACAAAACUCCCUUACUGAUCAUUCUCAAAAGAGGUACGAGUCACUAGGAAACAACAUGAACAUAUGGCAUCAUGAGAUAAACAGGUCCAGGACUUAGUGAAAUUACUAAGUCCCUGAAAACAGAAUUAGCAAGUGCACCACUUUGCAAGCUUGCACAAGUCUCCACACACAUCACAAAAAUACAUGGGUUGCACCUCUAGAGAGAUGACAAAACCCUUAACAAAACACAUGUAGAACUCACGGGCAUAUCAUGCACACAAUAAUCAUGGCAAAAAUGACAAAAGUGCUAAACGGAGUAGCAGAUCUGACAAUUAACUCAAGUAGCCCUCUUCUAACAGCAUUUCGGGCAUCAAGAUGAGCUCAAAUGAAAAUGAUGCAAUGGAAUGAAAUGAUGUACUCUCUGAGAUGAACAUUUUGAUAUGCUAUAUGCAUGAAUCGAAGCUACGAAUGCAAAGUUACGGAGCUACGAACAUGUGCAUAUGGACUGAAAAUAUCUGGGACUUAGACGAAAAUGACCUAGGGUUUUUUGGAUCUAGAUCUCGCACACGAAAAUCGAGGCGGGGCCGGGCCCUGUAGGCCGGCGGCGAAGGAGCUCGCCGGAGCCGACGUUGACGGCGGGAGGCGGCGGGGCGAGGCCGGUGGCCGGGCGAGGCGGCGGUGGCAGCGNNNNNNNNNNNNNNNNNNNNNNNNNNNNNNNNNNNNNNNNNNNNNNNNNNNNNNNNNNNNNNNNNNNNNNNNNNNNNNNNNNNNNNNNNNNNNNNNNNNNNNNNNNNNNNNNNNNNNNNNNNNNNNNNNNNNNNNNNNNNNNNNNNNNNNNNNNNNNNNNNNNNNNNNNNNNNNNNNNNNNNNNNNNNNNNNNNNNNNNNNNNNNNNNNNNNNNNNNNNNNNNNNNNNNNNNNNNNNNNNNNNNNNNNNNNNNNNNNNNNNNNNNNNNNNNNNNNNNNNNNNNNNNNNNNNNNNNNNNNNNNNNNNNNNNNNNNNNNNNNNNNNNNNNNNNNNNNNNNNNNNNNNNNNNNNNNNNNNNNNNNNNNNNNNNNNNNNNNNNNNNNNNNNNNNNNNNNNNNNNNNNNNNNNNNNNNNNNNNNNNNNNNNNNNNNNNGGCGGUGCGGGCGAGAGCCGCCGCGUGGCAGCGCGCUAGUGGGCGCGGGCAGCGGCGGACGUUGUCCGGCCCGCUCCGGACACGUCCGGCGGCGACGGCGGUGGAUCUAGGGUUAGGGGGGAGAGUGGAACCCCGAAUUUGAAGGAGGAGGUGUAUAUAUAGGCAUAGAGGGAGCUCGGGGAGUCCAAAUGAGGUGCGGUUUUCGGCCACGCGAUUAUGAUCGAACGCUCUAGAUGAUGGAGCAAAGCUAGAUGGUUUUUGGGCCAAAUUGGAGGGGUGUUGGGCUGCAACACACACGAGGCCUUUUCGGUCCCUCGGUUAACCGUUGGAGUAUCAAACGAAGUCCAAAUGGCACGAAACUUGACAGGCGGUCUACCGGUAGUAAAUCAAGGCCGCUUGACAAGUCUUGGUCCAAUCCGGAAAUGUUUAAUACCCACACACGAAAGAAAGCUAGAAAUGACCACCGGAGGAGAACGAAGCGCCGGAAUGCAAAACGGAGAACGGGGAAAAUGCUUGAAUGCAUGAGACAAACACGUAUGCAAAUGCAAUGCACAUGAUGACAUGAUAUGAGAUGCAUGACAAUGACAACAACACACGGAGACAAAAACCCGAACCCAAGAAAAAUAAAAUAACUUAACGCCGGAAACGGCAAGAGUUGGAGUACAAAUAGGGAAAGUUACAUCCGGAGUGUUACAACACUCCACCACUACGAAAGGAUCUCGUCUCGAGAUCUAGGACUGAAAGAACGCCGGGUACUCAGAACGGAGGUGAUCCUCGCGUUCCCAGGUAGCUUCACGGUCGGAAUGGUGUGACCACUUGACUUUGAGAAAUUUGAUUGACUUGUUGCGAGUCUUGCAUUCAGUCUCUUCAAGAAUAGCAACUGGGUGCUUACGAUAAGAGAGAUCUUCUUGGAGCUCAAUGUCCUCGAAGUUGACGGUGCGGUCAGGAGUCUUGAAGCACUUUCGAAGCUGAGAGACAUGAAACACAUCAUGAACAUUUGCAAAGUUUGAAGGAAACUCGAGUUGAUAGGCGAGGUCGCCUCUCUUGCUGACAAUCUUGAAAGGUCCCACGUAUCUGGGGGCAAGCUUCCCUUUGAUACCGAAGCGACGAGUACCUUUCAUAGGAGAGACACGGAGGUAAACAUGAUCUCCGUUCUCGAAAGCCAAAUCACGGUGCUUACUAUCAUAGUAGCUCUUCUGGCGGGAUUGGGCUGAUUUGAGAUUAUCUAGAAUGACUUUGCACAUUUUUUUCUGCCUCUGUGAUUAAGUCAUUACCCAAAAGCUGACGUUCACCGGUUUCAGACUAGUUGAGAGGGGUACGGCACUUCCUGCCAUACAGAAUUUCAAAUGGGGCCUUGCCCGAACUUGCUUGAAAACUGUUAUUGUAGGAGAAUUCAGCAUAAGGAAGACAAUCCUCCCACUUCAUGCCGAAGGAGAUCACACAAGCCCUGAGCAUAUAUUCAAGAAUCUGGUUGACACGCUCGACUUGACCGCUAGUUUGAGGAUGGAAAGUUGUGCUGAAACAGAUAUUGGUGCCCAUGGCCUUCUGAAAAGAAUCCCAAAACUUCGAGGUAAAGAUGCUGCCACGGUCUGAAGAGAUCACUUGUGAAAUACCAUGCAGAGAGACAAUACAAGAGGUAUAGAGUUCCGCCAAUUGAGCUGCAGUGAUCGACUUUUUGAUAGGCAUAAAAUGAGCAACUUUGAUGAGUUUGUCGAUGACAACGAAUAUAGCAUCAUUGCCACGCUUGAACUUUGAAAAGCCAGUCACGAAGUCCAUUUCAAUGUGGCCACGCUUGGACUCCUCAAGAACUUUGUUUGCCAGGUGUGGAUGCUUCUGUUUUGGUCAAAAAUUUCCGUGCGUUUUCGACACAUUUCGAUCGAAUUUCAUCAACCUGGAUUCGAGUGAAGGAGGUUAAUUAAUUUUCGCGGGUGAAAAAACACCGGAGCAAAGAACACGGUCGAUGUCAAGGGAAGAGUAGUUAUGGAGUUUAUAUCAGAAUGAUGAUGAUUGAUAGGCGGCGGACCAACACUUUUUCUGUUUGACAACAGCAAGCCAAGAUAGUAAGCCGGGAAUGGAUAUGGAUGGGGAUCACAUCAGCGGCCAGAUUAAUUCAUGGAAGCAGAGCACCUAGUAAUUGGGGCCCCAACUGGACUGUCAUAAACAGCAGAGAAUACCUUAUUCUGAAGAUCCAGACUAUUACCGAUCCAUAUACGCCCUUUGUAGGAGUAUAUAUAUAAUUAAACCUUGGACGAGCUAAUAGUUAGGCUUAGCAGAUGGACUGACAGACAUUUGUCGCAGUAGCUCCAGGGGCGGAGCCAGGGGGAACGAGUAGGGGCCUGCCCCCCCCCAAAUGAUCGACAAUUUUAGUAGCAGUGAUGAGUAAUUACCAAUGAGAUUAGAUCAAUAUAUGUACUCGGUCCCCCUAUACUCGAAUCCUGGCUCGGCCACUGAGUAGCUCAGUUGACUUAUCAUCUUGAGAGUAACUGGCUACAAUCUCUUCCAUCCACAUAGGUUGUGCUCUAGACAUAUGGAAGACAUGUAUUAGCUAGCCUUGUAGAUAAUGCAUCAAUAGCAAAAUUGUCAGUGCCCUUGUUGUAAACAAUUUGAUAAUUCAGUCCCAUAUGUUUUGUAAGAGCUUUUUGUUGCUAGAUAUUUUGCUGCUGAUAAUUCUAGACAAUUGGAAUAGUACGGAGUUCCUGAUUCUCCAAGCACACUAUUUUUUUUUUUGAUCGUUCUGAUAGUGAAUUGUUGGAUAGGUAGAUAAGAUAUCCACUGUUCCGUUGCUAACAAUAUUGAUAUAUACUCCUCAUACACUGGAAGGUAGAUAAGAUAUCCUGCAUUAAUGCAACACCAAUACCAGCAUCACAUGCAUCUAUCUCUUACUGAAGUGGUGUAGCGCUGGUUACCACCACUAGUGAACUCCAUGAAGAUAAAUGUAGACGGUGCGGUGGCGAGACAGGAUCAAGGCCUCCUUUGUAGGAUUUUUUAAGGAAUUUUAUAGGAUAGGAUUUGCAAAGGAAAAUUUUUUUUGAAGCCCUUUGGUUUGUAGGAAUAGAUUCCUAUUUCUAUGUAGGAUAGGAAUCAAUCCUUCACGUUUUGGAAGAAAAAAAACAUUAGCCUAGACUUAAUGAAAAAAUAUCCUAUCCUAUGCACCAAAUGACAUGUCUUUCUCUAUAAGAAUUGACAUGCAUGUCAUCUCACUUCCUAUGAUUUUCCUAUUCCUAUAAAAUUCCUAUCAUAUGAACCAAAGAUGGCCCAAAUAGGUGUGGCAGCAGGAAUUUGCUGUGAUCAUAACGGUGCAUACUUGGGAUCCUUGGCGGUCGUGUUGCAUGGUACAACCGACCCAACGGUCCUAGAAACGUAUGCUUGCCAGGAAUCUUUGGCACUUGCUGGGGAUGUGGGCAUGCAAAAAUCUACUCCCUCCGUCUUAUAAUAAAAAGGCGUUUUUUUUGCGAGAACACUUGUAUUACUCAAAUAUCAAUGUCUUUACAAUCAUCAAGGGAUAUACCCAAGACCUCAUCUGGCCUAGAUCCCAGCCAGGUCAUAGUUCGCUCCUCAAUUCUAGCAAACCUAGCCAAACUAUCACUAGCUUUAUUCCGGACUCUCAUAAUACGAGUAAUAUAAGUUGUCUAAGACGCAUCAGCAGUCUUAUUUCAACGCUACAUAAAAACACUCUUAUAUUAUGGAACGUGGGAGUAUAUUGCAUUGGAUUACGGAAGUGUUAUGAAAGACAUCAAGCAAGGUACUGGAGGCCCUCAUGGAGCAAUCGUAAAGGAGAUAGUAGAGAGUAUGAAGAGUUUUAAUUUUGGCAAUUUCAUUCACAAACAUAAACGUAAAAACUUUAAUUUUGAAGUUCAUAACCUCCCCAAGAUGCAUGGCUUGACCCAAACCUUGUACCUAUCAACAUUACUUUUUAUUAGGACCACCUAUCAACAUUAUUUUGGAUGAAUAAAGUUGGCGAGAUUUCUCAAAAAAAAAAGUAAUGCUGCUGUUGUCGAAAACACUUGCAUCAGAUACAAGUAAACUUGUUCUUGGGCUUCAGGGUUGGUGACCUGUUGGUCGCUGACGGAGACACUCCUCCGGCCGUACGUACGCCGGCUGGGCUUGUUUUCUUCUCUCCAUCUAGUAGCGUGAGAUUGAAGUAAAAUUACGUGCGUGCUGUGGUCAACAGGUCAUGGGUUCUUGCCGCGUUAACCUCAAGUCCUUAACUAGUUUCUCUUUCAGUGUGGAAGCACCGAUCUCUACGCCAAACUUGCAUCUCUUUUUCCCCUGAAAAAAACCUACUGUACUACGUAUCUCUCUGCCUCGUUCUUACGUUCAUAGAAAUGUCUCUCGGAGCAUCUCCGGCCAUUGGCCCCCAGGGGGCCUCGAAAAACCGCUGCCUGGGGGCGUCCCGACGCUAAAAUCGACUUAGGGCCAAUCGAGUUCUCAGCGGCCGGCCCCAGGGUCGCCCCCAGAAGGCGUUUUCAAAUUAUUUUUUUUUAAAAAGAUUCGGCUAUAAUUCGGCAAAUGGGUAUAAACUUUGGCGACUUAAAUAGUUUUUUACAUAGCGAACUUAAAAAUUACUUUAAAAAACAACCACCGCGACUAUAGGAAGAACUCGCUGAACUGGGCGAAGUCGCCACCAUCGCCGCCGCCGUCGUCCUUCUCCUCUUUCACGCGGCCGCUCCUGCUGGACCCCUGCCUAGAGUCGCCCUGGCGGACCGGUGGCGGAAUAACAUACCGAGGGCCUCUCGUCGGUAUCUCUAUUGAUGGUUAUGGUUUUCUGACCAUCGACAUUGGAUGUCAUUGAUAACGGGAUCACAUCAUUAGGAGAAUAAUGUGAUGGACAAGACCCAAUCCUAAGCAUAGCACAAGAUCGUGUAGUUCCUUUGCUAGGGCUUUUCUAAUGUUAAGUAUCAUUUUCUUAGACCAUGAAAUUGUGCAACUUCCGAAUACCGUAGGAUUGCUUUGGGUGUAUCAAACAUCACAACGUAACCGGGUAGCUAUAAAGGUGCACUACAGGUAUCUCCGAAAGUGUCUGUUGGGUUGGCACGAAUCGAGACUGGGAUUUGUCACUCCAUAUGACGGAGAGGUAUCUCUGGGCCCACUCGAUAAUGCAUCAUCAUAAUGAGCUCAAUGUGACUAAGGAGUUAGCCACGGGAUCAUGCGUUACGGAACGAGUAAAGAGACUUGCCGGUAACGAGAUUGAACGAGGUAUGGGGAUACCGACGAUCGAAUCUCGGGCAAAUAACAUACAGAUGGACAAAGGGAAUUGUAUACGGGAUUGAUUGAAUCCUCGACAUCGUGGUUCAUCCGAUGAGAUCAUCGUGGAACAUGUGGGGGCCAACAUGGGUAUCCAGAUCCCGUUAUUCACUAUUGGCCGGAGAGAUGUCUCGGUCAUGUCUGCAUGGUUCCCGAACCCGUAGGGUCUACACACUUAAGGUUCGGUGACGCUAGAGUUGUAAUGGGAAUAGUAUGUGGUUACCGAAGGUUGUUCUGAGUCCCGGAUGAGAUUCCGAACGUGACGAGGAACUCUGAAAUGGUCUGAAGGUGAAGAUUGAUAUAUUGGACGAAGGGUAUUGGAAUCCGAAAUUGUUCUAGGAGUACCGAGUGACGACCAGCAUGACAGAAAGGAGUUUCGGAGGACCCGACAAGCAUUGGGGGGCCUUAUGGGCCAAGGAAAGGGGGCACACCAGCCCACUAAGGGGCAGUGUGCCCCUCACACCCCAUCUCAUGUAACCUGGAGAGGUCGGGGCGCCUCCCCUAGGGCAGCCGCUGUUGGGGAACGUAGUAAUUUCAAAAAAUUUCCUACGCACACGCAAGAUAUGAUGAUGCAUAGCAACGAGAGGGGAGAGUGUUGUCUACGUACCCUCGUAGACCGACAGCGGAAGCGUUAUGACAACGCGGUUGAUGUAGUCGUACGUCUUCACGGCUCGACUGAUCAAGCACCGAAACUACGGCACCUCCGAGUUCUAGCACACGUUCAGCUCGAUGACGAUCCCCGGACUCCGAUCCAGCAAAGUGUCGGGGAAGAGUUCCGUCAGCACGACGGCGUGGUGACUAUCUUGAUGUUCUACCAUCGCAGGGCUUCGCCUAAGCACCGCUACAAUAUUAUCGAGGAUUAUGGUGGAGGGGGGCACCGCACACGGCUAAGAGAACAAUCACGAAGAUCAACUUGUGUGUCUAGAGGUGCCCCCCUGCCCCCGUAUAUAAAGGAGCAAGGGGGAGGCCGGCCGGCCCUUGGGUGCGCCAAGGAGGAGGAGUCCUCCUCCUAGUAGGAGUAGGACUCCCCUCUUUCCUACUCCUACUAGGAGGGGGAAAGGAAGGGGGAGAGGGAGAAGGAAAGGGGGGCACCGCCCCCCCCCCUCUCCUAGUCCAAUUCGGACCAGAGGGGGAGGGGGCGCGCAGCCCACCCUGGCCGCCCCUCUCUCUCUCUCCACUAGGGCCCAUAAAGCCCAUUACUUCUCCGGGGGGGGUUCCGGUAACCCUCCGGCACUCCGGUUUUCUCCGAAAUCACCCGGAACACCUCCGGUGUCCGAAUAUAGCCGUCCAAUAUAUCAAUCUUUAUGUCUCGACCAUUUAGAGAUUCCUCGUCAUGUCCGUGAUCACAUCCGGGACUCCGAACAAACUUCGGUACAUCAAAAUAUAUAAACUCAUAAUGAAACUGUCAUCGUAACGUUAAGCGUGCGGACCCUACGGGUUCGAGAACAAUGUAGACAUGACCCAGACAUGUCUCCGGUCAAUAACCAAUAGCGGAACCUGGAUGCUCAUAUUGGCUCCCACAUAUUCUACGAAGAUCUUUUAUCGGUCAGACCGCAUAACAACAUACUUUGUUCCCUUUGUCAUCGGUAUGUUACUUGCCCGAGAUUCGAUCGUCGGUAUCUCAAUACCUAGUUCAAUCUCGUUACCGGCAAGUCUCUUUACUCGUUUUGUAAUACAUCAUCUCGCAACUAACUCAUUAGUUGCAAUGCUUGCAAGGCUUAUGUGAUGUGCAUUACCGAGAGGGCCCAGAGAUACCUCUUCGACAAUCGAAGUGACAAAUCCUAAUCUCGAAAUACGCCAACCCAACAUGUACCUUUGGAGACACCUGUAGAGCUCCUUUAUAAUCACCCAGUUACGUUGUGAUGUUUGGUAGCACACAAAGUGUUCCUCCGGCAAACGGGAGUUGCAUAAUCUCAUAGUCAUAGGAACAUGUAUAAGUCAUGAAGAAAGCAAUAGCAACAUACUAAAUGAUCGGGUGCUAAGCUAAUGGAAUGGGUCAUGUCAAUCACAUCAUUCUCCUAAUGAUGUGAUCUCGUUAAUCAAAUGACAACUCAUGUCUAUGGCUAGGAAACAUAACCAUCUUUGAUUAACAAGCUAGUCAAGUAGAGGCAUACUAGUGACACUCUGUUUGUCUAUGUAUUCACACAUGUAUUAUGUUUCCGGUUAAUACAAUUCUAGCAUGAAUAAUAAACAUUUAUCAUGAUAUAAGGAAAUAAAUAAUAACUUUAUUAUUUCCUCUAGGGCAUAUUUCCUUCUGUCUCCCACUUGCACUAGAGUCAAUAAUCUAGUUCACAUCGCCAUGUGAUUUAACAUCAAUAGUUCACAUCUUUAUGUGGUUAACAACCAUAGUUCACAUCGACAUGUGACCAACACCCAAAGGGUUUACUAGAGUCUGUAAUCUAGUUCACAUCGCUAUGUGAUUAACACCCAAAGAGUACUAAGGUGUGAUCAUGUUUUGUUUGUGAGAUAAUUUUAGUCAACGGGUCUGUCAUAUUCAGAUCCGUAAGUAUUUUGCAAAUUUCUAUGUCUACAAUGCUCUGCACGGAACUACUUUAGCUAAUUGCUCCCACUUUCAAUAUGUAUCCAGAUGAAGACUUAGAGUCAUUUGGAUCAAUGCCAAAACUUGUAUCGACGUAACCCUUUUACGAUGAACCUUUUGUCACCUCCAUAUUCGAGAAACAUAUCCUUAUUCCACUAAGGAUAAUUUUGACCGCUGUCCAGUGAUCUACUCCUAGAUCACUAUUGUACUCCCUUGCCAAAAACAGUGUAGAGUAUACAAUAGGUCUGGUACACAGCAUGGCAUACUUUAUAGAACCUAUGGCCAAGGCAUAGGGAAUGACUUUCAUUCUCUUUCUAUCUUCUGCCGUGGUCGGGCUUUGAGUCUUACUCAAUUUCACACCUUGUAACACAGGCAAGAACUCUUUCUUUGACUGUUCCAUUUUGAACUACUUCAAAAUCUUGUCAAGGUAUGUACUCAUUGAAAAAACUUAUCAAGCAUCUUGAUCUAUCUCUAUAGAUCUUGAUGUUCAAUAUGUAAGCAGCUUCACCGAGGUCUUUCUUUGAAAAAACUCCUUUCAAACACUCCUUUAUGCUUUGCAGAAUAAUUCUACAUUAUUUCCGAUUAACAAUAUGUCAUUCAUAUAUACUUAUCAGAAAUGUUGUAGUGCUCCCACUCACUUUCUUAUAAAUACAGGUGAGGGAGUCCUGGAUUAGGGGGUAUCCGGAUGGCCGGACUAUACCUUCGGUCGGACUCCUGGACUAUGAAGAUACAAUAUUGAAGACUUCGUCCCGUGUCCGGAAGGGACUUUCCUUGGCGUGGAAGGCAAGCUUGGCGAUACGGAUAUGUAGAUCUCCUACCAUUGUAAUCUACUCUAUGUAACCCUAACCCUAUCCGGUGUCUAUAUAAACCGGAGGGUUUUAGUCCGUAGGACAACACAUUCAUACACAACAAUCAUACCAUAGGCUAGCUUCUAGGGUUUAGCCUCUCUGAUCUCUUGGUAGAUCUACUCUUGUACUACCCAUAUCAUCAAUAUUAAUCAAGCAGGACGUAGGGUUUUACCUCCAUCGAGAGGGCCCGAACCUGGGUAAAACUUCGUGUCCCUUGCCUCCUGUUACCAUCCGGCCUAGACGCACAGUUCGGGACCCCCUACCCGAGAUCCGCCAGUUUUGACACCGACAUUGGUGCUUUCAUUGAAAGUUCCUCUGUGUCGUCGCCGUCAGGCUCGAUGGCUCCUACGAUCAUCAAUAGCGAUGCUGUCCAGGGUGAGACCUUCCUCCCGGACAGAUCUUCGUCUUCGGCGGCUUCACACUGCGGGCCAAUUCACUUGGCCAUCUGGAGCAGAUCGAAAGCUACGCCCCUGGCCGCCAGGUCAGAUUUGGAAGUUUAAACUACACGGCUGACAUCCGCAGGGACUUGAUCUUCGACGGAUUCGAGCCACUACCGAGCGCGCCGCACUGUCACGACAAGCAUGAUCUAGCUCUGCCACCGAACAGUGCCCUGGAGGCCGCACCCGCAUCGGCUUUGACCCUUAAUUCGGAGCCUACUACGCCGAUCGAGGAUGGGUGGUUGGACGCCGCCUCGGGGGCUGCGAUCCCAACGGCGAUCGAUCCGAACACCAGCCCCGCACUCCGUGAGACUCGUGACUCUAGGGAGCUGGACUCCUCUCCGGACUCCGAACCCUCCGCGCCCUUGCCGAUCGAAUCCGAUUGGGCGCCGAUCAUGGAGUUUACUGCCGCGGAUAUCUUUCAGCACUCGCCUUUCGGCGAUAUUCUGAAGACACUAAAGUCUCUCUCUCUCUAUCAGGACAGCCCUGGCCGAGCUACGGUUAGCAAGGUUGGGAUACGAACGAUGAAGAAAUUCAAAGCCCACCCACCACCCACCUUAUAGCCACUGUCGACGAUUUAACCGAUAUGCUCGACUUUGACUCCGAAGUUAUCGACGGUAUGGACGCCGACGCAGGAGACGAUGAAGAACCAGCACCUAUUGAGCCCUGGAAAGCCACCUCGUCAUAUGACGUAUACAUGGUGGACGCACCAAAAGAUGAUGACGAGGAGCGAAAGGACGCAACGAAGGCUUGUUCCCUCGAGAAGCAGUCAAAGCGGCGACGCAAGCGCCGCCCCAAAUCCCGCCUCGACAGAAAUAACGAUCACACAGACCCAGCGCUGGAGCAUGGCGAACCGCUGCCAGACAACGGCAAUCCGGAUAAUCAAACCGAACAAACAAAUUCUAUCAAGGAUAAUAGUCCGGACGAUAUAACGCCGGACAGGCACCCGGAGCAGUAGAAUGCCCGUAAAAGGCUUGUUGCAACCGCGAGGAGUCUCAAAAAGCAAAAGCAAAGGGCUGCACAAGACACACUCCAAAUUAGAUGGAGUAAAAUACUCAACACAGCAGCGAGGUACGGCGACAAUCGCCCCUCCAAGAGCUACCCAAAGCGGAAGCUGCUACCCGAAUUCGAUACUCAGACCCUCCACAACCAAACAUCAAAGCAGCCACCUGGCCAGAUAGACGACCCCUCUACCAACACAGGGCGGCAUACAACGCCACUCACAAUACAACACGCGACCCAGGCGAGGGCUCGCACCCAAAGGACGGCACAACAAGAUCCAUCUAUGGACCACGCAAGCGCGCCCCAGCAUACAAUGCAAUACAACAAACAUCCGAACAACGCGGCACACCCAGCUACAGGGGUGCCGCACACCCCCUGUGUUUCACCGAUGAGGUGCUGGACCAUGAAUUCCCAGAGGGAUUUAAACCCGUAAACAUAGAGGUAUACGACGGAACAACAGACCCUGGGGUUUGGACUGAGGACUACAUCCUCCAUAUCCAUAUGGCUCGAGGAGAUGAUCUCCAUGCCAUCAAGUACUUACCCCUUAAGCUCAAAGGGCCAGCUCGUCACUGGCUUAAAGGCCUCCCCGAAAGCUCCAUUGGAAGUUGGGAACAGCUUGAAGACGCCUUUCGGGCAAAUUUUCAAGGGACUUAUGUCCGGCCUCCGAAUGCGGACGAUUUGAGUCAUAUAACUCAACAGCCCGGAGAGUCAGCUCGAAAGCUUUGGAACAGGUUUAUUACUAAAAAGAACCAGGUUGUCGACUGUCCGGACGCCGAAGCCUUGGCAGCUUUUAAGCAUAGCGAUUACUCAGCAAGUAUCCGGCGUGCAGGAUGGGCUCCCCUGGUAUUAGACCCAGUAAUUGGUGGAUAUCACUUCACACGAGUAUUGAUGGACGGUGGCAGCAAUCUAAACCUAAUAUAUCAGGAUAUAAUCCGCGGGAUCGGGUUAGACCCAACAAAAAUUCGCCAUAGCAAUACUACCUUUAAAGGAGUAACGCCAGGCCCAGGGGCUCGCUGUACGGGCUCCCUACUACUACAAGUUAUAUUCGGCUCCCCCGAUAACUUCCGUCGCGAGUAUUUAACCUUCCACAUCGCUCCGUUCCGAAGUGGCUAUCAAGCACUGCUCGAACGCGAAGCUUUCUCUCGCUUUAAUGCAAUACCACACUACGCCUCCCUCACACCCAAGAUGCCCGGUCCACGUGGCAUCAUUUCAGUGAACGGAAAUAUCAAGCAAUCUCUGCGCACCGAAGAGAGUGCGGCUGCCUUGGCAGCCGCACACUAAAGGCGCCCGGACCAUCGAAAGCAUCCAAUAGGUCGUCAAGACCUCAGACACAACUAACCAAGUCCGGUGCCGCUAUUUAUACCGAAUAAACGGUCACGCCCCUAUUUGCAAGGGGCUCAACGCGCGCAGACAAGUGGCAAUCUUUUCUCAUCUUGAAUUAUACAUGGUUUCUUUAAAAACUAUCUUUUUGCACGACAACUUUUUCACCUAAAUUCCUCUCCUUUACAGACGAUCAUCGUGCUACACCCGUCCAGGAUACGGCACAACGGAGACACAGGCGCAGACAUGUAGCAGGGACCCGCUCCAAGGAUUCUUUUUAGAUUAAGACCCUGCGUAAACCUUUUUUACUGUCUCUUGUUGAUACAUAUCCACCAUUGAGAAGGAUGCUGACGUCUUGGCAUGUGGCCAUGCCAGAACAAUGCACGUACCUGGACACAAGGGGCUUCUUACAAAGGCCAUUAUUCAGGCCCGGUUUAUACCACAAAGACCGAAUACCUUAGGGAGUGUCCGGCGUCGCGAGUUUGGCCCUAUAUGCAUCAACUCUGAAUCAUUGUCUUUGGUCAAAUGUUGGGUUUGCCCGGCUCUUGUGUUUUGGUGCCUUACGUCACUACUAGGAAAAGGGCUACUAAUGGCGCACCAGUUUUGCCUACUAAUGGCGCAUCACUGGUGCGCCAUUAGUAUCACGCCACUAGUAUUUUUUACUAAUGGCGCAUCACUGGUGCGCCAUUAGUAUAGGCCAUGGUGCGCCAUUAGUAUAGGCCACUGGUGCGCCAUUAGUAUAGGCCACGGUGCGCCAUUAGUAUUUUUGAAUUUUGAAGGCGGGAAAAUAGUAGUGGCGCACCGUCUAACCCCCACCGUGCGCCAUUGCUAUUUUGGAAUUUUGAAUUUGGAUCUGGAUCGUGAUUUUUUUGCCCAUUUUUUGCUCAUUUUUUGGCACGAUAUUAUUUCAAAUUUUGUUCAUGUUUUUGGAUCUUGUACAUUCUUUUGCCGGAGAGGAGUUCGCUGGAGAGGAGGAGGAGGAGGUCACCGGAGAGGCGAUCGCCUACAUCACCGGAGAGGAGGAGGAGGUCGCCGGAGAGGAGUUCACCGAAGCAUCGGAGAGGAGGAAGGAGAAACCAUGAGGGAAUGGGAGGAGAGGAGGGAGGAGGAGCUCACCGGAGAGGAGGGAGGAGAAACCGUGAGGGGAGGGGANNNNNNNNNNNNNNNNNNNNNNNNNNNNNNNNNNNNNNNNNNNNNNNNNNNNNNNNNNNNNNNNNNNNNNNNNNNNNNNNNNNNNNNNNNNNNNNNNNNNNNNNNNNNNNNNNNNNNNNNNNNNNNNNNNNNNNNNNNNNNNNNNNNNNNNNNNNNNNNNNNNNNNNNNNNNNNNNNNNNNNNNNNNNNNNNNNNNNNNNNNNNNNNNNNNNNNNNNNNNNNNNNNNNNNNNNNNNNNNNNNNNNNGCCGGAGAGGAGGAGGUCGCCGGAGAGGAGGAGGGUAGUAUGAUGGAGGAAAGAAGGGAAGAUGGAGUGGAGGAGAGGAGGAGAUGGAGUGGAGGAGAGGUGGACUGGAGGAGAAGAAUGAAGAGGUAAGGAGGAGCGGAGUACGCCCAGCUAUAUAUACGGCAUAGUAAUGGCGCACUAUGGGCAGGUGCGCCAUUACUAAAUUUUUUUAUUUUUUUAUUUAUUUUGAAUUUUGAAGGCGGGAAGAUACUAAUGGCGCUUCAUGGGCAGGUGCGCCAUUAGUAAUUUUUUUAUUAUUAUUUUUGACUUAUUUUGAAUUUUGAAGGCGGGAAGAUACUAAUGGUGCACCAUGGGCAGGUGCGCCAUUAGUAACUUUUAUUUUUAUUUUUGACUUAUUUUGAAUUUUGAAGGCGGGAAGAUACUAAUGGCGCACCAUGGGCAGGUGCGCCAUUAGUAAGUUUGAAUUUUUUUUGAAUUUUUUUGCCUCUCCAGAUCUUAAAAGCCCCGUAUCUUUUUUUCUGUUAGGUUUUUGAGGAUUUUGAAAAUGUUUAAUGGGGUUAAAUUCGGAUGUAACUUUUCGAGUAGAUGAUUUUUCAUAUAAAAAACUUUUUCAUCCGAGUUCGUACGCAAAAGUUAUGCCCAUUUUUACAAAUUCUCGAGAGAUUUUGCAAAAAAGUCGAAAAUUCAUGUUUGUAAAUUUUCACAACAACUAGACCACAUAUCACAUGGGAAUCUUAUUUUCUUUUAUUUUUUUGACAUUUCUAUUAUUUUAUUUUAUUUUUUUUAAACUGAAAAGCGGUCCACGGGGGGCGAGGGGGGGGGUGCAUUCGAGCGAAUGUUUGGGCCAAGUUACUAAUGACGCACCGUGGCAUGAUGCGCCAUUACUAGUUCAACUAGUAAUGGCGCACCACUCCCACGGUGCGCCAUUAGUAGUUUUGAAAAAAUUAAAAAAAAUUACUAAUGGUGCACCGUGGAUUUGGUGUGCCAUUACUAGUUCAACUAGUAAUGGCGCACCACUCCAACGGUGCGCCAUUAGUAGUUUUGAAAAAAUUAAAAACAAUUUUUUUACUAAUGGCGCACCAACACAUGGUAUGCCAUUAGUAUAUAGUAAUGGCGCACCACAUGUCUGGUGCGCCAUUAGUGUCAAUUCCAUCUAUAGCCCUUUUCCUGGUAGUGCGUUCCGCUUUACCGGCUAAGAUAGCAUCAGGAGAACUACUGCGAUUGUGCCCUGGUUCAUCCGGACGAGCACCUCAGUAGAGAAAGCUGAAAACUGACUGUCAUGAUAUAGCGUGAGACUGGUCCACCACUCGAUGACCUGUUGGAAUGAUAGAAUUCCUCUGCCUUAACGAAGGGCCACUUUCCGGCCAGGCAUGCACGCACCCCGGGAUCGGGAGAGUGCGGAGCCACCAGGGGCUAUCUAGCAAACUCUCAUGGCUAAGUGAAAGUGCUAAAGCAUUAUAGCCCGGUUGCCUCGCUCGUUCCGCUAUCACCUCCUUAAUAGGACCAAGACGUUGGGUUAAGUGUGAACGCGUGUUUUUGCGAGCACCUCCGCAUUAUAUGCGUGGGGGUUGAAGCCGACGGCUGCAAUCUUUCAGGUUAUACACAUGUAUACAUAAAUGGACGCCCAGGAGGCAUCAUAUUACUUUCAGAAAAAAGUAUAAAUAUAGCCUUAUAAAACUUUAUAAAAGCAUUUUCGCUUACAAUGAGAUUACAUAUCACUCAAACAUAAUAUUUUUUGAGCACUGGGUCUCUAUCAAACGAGCACCCUCAAGAACUUCUUCAAAGUAGUGCUCAGCAGCCAUUCGGCCUAUCGCCGAAUCCCGCGCUGCAACAGGGGUGGCAUCCAUCUCCGCCCAGCAUGCUUUAACACGGGCAAAGGCCAUCCGUGAGCCCUCUAUGCACGCCGACCUCUACAUCGCAUUGACGCGCGGCACCAUGUCAAGGAACUGAUGCACUAAGCUGAAAUAGCUGUUCGGUUUCGGUUUUUCUGGCCAUAGCUGAUCCACAACAGACCUCAUCACUACUAGGAAAAGGCAUGCUAGUGGCGCACGGAAUUUGCCUUCUAAUGGCGGACUACCGGUGUGCCACUAGCAUCACGCCAUUAGAAUUAAAUUCUAAUGGCGCACCACCGGUGCGCCAUUAGUAUCUGGUGUUCUAAUGCUGCACCACGUAGAGCGCCAUUAGUAUAGCCUGCAGUGCGCCAUUAGAAUGCCUCCCAGGGGGCCAUAUGUACCCAUGUGCUUUGGCAUUCUAAUGGCGCACCAGCAGUUAAUGCGCCAUUGGUGUGAUGAUCACAGUGCGCCAUUAGUGUCUUGUCUGGUGCGCCAUUAGUAUGAAUAUUAGGUUUUUUUUUUGCUUUUCUGAUUUUUGCACAGGUUACAAAAUAUAUUAUUGGACAGAAUAUAGACAGCAGCACACAGCAACAUCAGAUUCAUCAAAUACAAUAGAAGAUUAGUCUCCGAAUACAAUUCAUCAUAUUAGUCUCUGAAUUCAAAAGACCGAACAAAGAUAAAACAUUACAAGUCUCAAGACCGCGAGUAUCGAGUUUGUCGGAAGUAAUACUAAUCCUAACAAGUCCUACUAAUCAUCAUCAUACAACUUCUACUCGUUAUUCAUAACAAGUCAUACGAUCAUCAUCUUGAUAGUCUUCGAACCAAUCCUACUUAAUUGUUCUUAGCACAUGAUCAUCAGUAUUAGGCAGGACCUAAAUACCCUAUUUAAGCUAAAAUAGCACAAAACAAUAUAGACCCUGACUCUCCAUUAUGGAGAAUGGAGAACAUCAUGUCUCCAAUUCUUGCGCUUCGCUUCCUUUUGCUUCCAAGAAGCUCCUUACGACUGUCCAUACAUUUUUUUUUCAUCCUUUGAUUUUCAUGUCUCCACUUCUUUUAGAAAUCUCGUAUGGACAGUUGAGAUUCGUAGGACGACCUGGCUGUAUGUUCAAAACAUUAACACUACCUUUUAGAUACAUCAUAUGAGGCACACAAUUCUCUGGGAUUAUCUGUUGAAAAACAUAGUAAUAACUUCAUAGUUAGCAAUGAUGUACUAGUUUUAGAAGUAUGCAAAAGAUGCACGGAUGUCGUAAUAGUAAAAAUCUUACCAGGGUAUCUCCAUGGUAGUUACCGUAGUUGAACACAUGCACUAGUGGCACGUAUUUACCAUAAUGUUGAGGAGUUUGAUUGUAGAUAUUGUAAUUCUCAAUGUCAGUACAAAAUCCGACCAAAUGAUUUUUCUCCUUGUAAGUUGUUAAUUCGGAGCAUCGGUGUAGUGGGUUUUGUCUACCAUCUCCCGCACAUUCUUUGAACAAUAAAAAUAAGCUGUCAAUGGAAAUAAGCUGUCAACUAUUUUAAAAUAAACAAUAUAAAUUAGCUAAUAACUAUGUUUGAGAAACUCGCAUAGCGGUAGAACUGGAGGCGUAUCAACAAGGACCCAAAUGUCCAUAUUGUCUUGGUUGAUGUCAGGAUUACCAAGAUCCAUGGUGAUAAGCAUACCCUCAUCAAAACCAUACAUCUUGCAAAAUGCUUCCAAUUUUUGCAACCAAAAUGGGUUACGCUCUCAGAAUUAUAUAGAUUUACUUCAAAGUCCACAUCGUGGUGAGUCCUUAGGUGAAUUUUCUUUGUUUCAGAAAUUUCAUGGUCUUCAAAAUCCAUCCUCUGCAAGACAUAGCGUCUUGCAUGGCAUGUGAUAAGCUAUACUCGAAUUGUAAAAGAUGAAAAUUACACGUUGAAAUAGUUGAAGUCAUGCUUAAUUAUGAAAAAAAACACUUGUCGUCGUUGUGUACCGUUUCAACUUCGAAGGUCUCCUCGAGCUUAAUGCUGAAGCGCCGAUCAUCGUCCAGGUGAGGCAUGUCGCAUAGACCUCGAUUGUCGUGGCACCAGUCGCACUCCGCCGGGAGACUUUCGUCGUCCGAUGAUGAUGACGACAUAUCCUACGUUCAUAAUUCAAAACUACAUCAUUUAGGGUUUGUCGACAUCGAGGCACCCUAAAAGCCUAAGCUUUCAUCAUUUAGGUUUUGUCGAUGCCGAGGCACCCUAAAAGCCUAAGCGUACAUCAUUUAAGUUCUCAUCGACACCGAGGCACCCUAGGUUGGGCCUAAUCACUUGGCACUAAUCACUUGGCUCUAUUGCCACCUAUGUUGGGUUUAUCAUCUAGGGUUUAUCGAUGCUAACGAGAAUUCUAAGUUGGGCCUAAUCACUUGGCUCUAUUGCCACCUAUGGUUUAAUACAGCAAGAAUAAAAGGGCGGUUGAUCCUACUUAAUUAAGUACUAAGAUACCCCGGCCCAUGCAUUAGUAGCAAGUACCUCAUAUGUCCGAUUUUUAGCAAAGUCAUGCUAAAAUUCACGGAAAAUUUCAGCAUGACCUUUGUUGAAAAUAGGACAUAUGGAGUACCCGAAUUUGCCGGAACGGAAGUUAAUCGACAUUUUGGCAAACUCAAGGGCCUCUCGGGGUACCUGCAAAAUCAUCACGACACGAAGGGCCUCUCAAGGGCCUCAAGCAGCAGCGGCGUCUCCCAGGACCCCAUUUUUUUUGCUAAAUUUCCUUGAGCAACAAUCAGAGCAGAAAAUUCAGCAUAUUUCUAUACAACAGCACUGUAAAGAUGAAGAACAGUUCUACAGCAGCCCAUUUAUAUACAAUAGCAUCUUUGGUCAUACCAAUUUCUGAAACAAUUCAAAUCUGAACUGUAUCUUUGGUCAUACAAAUCUCUGAAACUAUACAAAUCUGAAAUAUAUAUUUGGUCAUACAAAUUUAUGGAACUAAUCAAAUCUGAAUUGUAUCUUUGGUCAUACAAAUCUCUAAAAAAUUUCUAAAUCUGUGGUCAUACAAAUUUAUGGAACUAAUCAAAUUAUGAUAGCUGGACACAUAAAUUAUGAUAGAUUGUGAUAGCUUGGGGAAUAGAUUAUGAUAGAUUGUGGAAACAGAACCGCGCCAAGGCUGACACAUCUCUGCACCAUGGAGUGUUCCUUUUUCUCAAUUCCCCAAGCAGCCUGGCGCUGCUCCAUGACCUGACCUUUUAUACUAUUAUGAACAAAAGCAUCUACCUCGAAAAUCUCCAGUACAUAGACCACGAGUAGAACAAGUCCAUGCAUCACAAAGUCACACAAAUUAGAGUGAUAGCACCAACAAUUUCGAGCUCCCUGUGCUACAAAGCAGCCCCGGAAUCUCAGACGGGCAGUCCGACUGGUGACAGGGUCCAAACCGAAAGCUAUAUGCUACCACAAUCUAUCAUGAACACGGCCCAAACGAAGUCAAUUCUACACUACAUCUGACAGACUACUCCGUGUUCUCUCAGAUUUCCUCCACUCGCCGAGAUGGGUUCCCACCAGCCCAGCCAUCCCCGCCUCUCCUCUCUCGCACGCACGCAGCAACCCAGGAAAACACAAGACAAGCAGUAGAAUCUCUGCUCUACCGGGAGGCAACGAAGUGGCCAAGGUCACAGGGGGCGAUACCUGAGCGGAAGCCCUAGGCAAGCGCGAGGGGGCGGAGCGCUGCUGCUGUUGCUUGGGGACGGUGAGGUCGGAGUGGGCGGCGCGGGAAGGCGGCGGGUGGCGGGGGAGGGGGUUCCGCCGAUCCGGCCGGAGGGGCGAGAGGUGGGAGGAGACGAGGCGGCGGCACGGUCGGGUGGGUGCGUGGGGCACUCCUUCCUGGUCCGGACUGGCCACGCUGCUCGGGGACGGCGAAGGAGGCGAGGGGGGCGGCGAGGGGGACNNNNNNNNNNNNNNNNNNNNNNNNNNNNNNNNNNNNNNNNNNNNNNNNNNNNNNNNNNNNNNNNNNNNNNNNNNNNNNNNNNNNNNNNNNNNNNNNNNNNNNNNNNNNNNNNNNNNNNNNNNNNNNNNNNNNNNNNNNNNNNNNNNNNNNNNNNNNNNNNNNNNNNNNNNNNNNNNNNNNNNNNNNNNNNNNNNNNNNNNNNNNNNNNNNNNNNNNNNNNNNNNNNNNNNNNNNNNNNNNNNNNNNNNNNNNNNNNNNNNNNNNNNNNNNNNNNNNNNNNNNNNNNNNNNNNNNNNNNNNNNNNNNNNNNNNNNNNNNNNNNNNNNNNNNNNNNNNNNNNNNNNNNNNNNNNNNNNNNNNNNNNNNNNNNNNNNNNNNNNNNNNNNNNNNNNNNNNNNNNNNNNNNNNNNNNNNNNNNNNNNNNNNNNNNNNNNNNNNNNNNNNNNNNNNNNNNNNNNNNNNNNNNNNNNNNNNNNNNNNNNNNNNNNNNNNNNNNNNNNNNNNNNNNNNNNNNNNNNNNNNNNNNNNNNNNNNNNNNNNNNNNNNNNNNNNNNNNNNNNNNNNNNNNNNNNNNNNNNNNNNNNNNNNNNNNNNNNNNNNNNNNNNNNNNNNNNNNNNNNNNNNNNNNNNNNNNNNNNNNNNNNNNNNNNNNNNNNNNNNNNNNNNNNNNNNNNNNNNNNNNNNNNNNNNNNNNNNNNNNNNCUCGUCGGCGGUGGUGGAGCGGGGGAGGGUUGCUGUGGGUCGUCGGCGGCGGUGGAGCUAGCGGGGGAGGGUGCGGGUGGGAUCGAGAUGGAGGGGGGUCGACAUCGAGAUGGAGGGGGAAUCGAGAUCGAGAUGGAGGGGGAUCAAGAUCAAGUGUCCUCAUGAAUUCAAAAAGUGCCCAUGAAAUAUAAAAAUAUUCAUGAUAUCAAAAAGUGCCCAUGAAAUACAAUCGAGAAAUGAAGACUACGAUUUAAAUACACUCGAUCUUAGCUAGCUAUCUGUUCACAAUCUUCUUGCCCUUCUUUUUCGCAAAUGGAGUUCUUCUGUGGAAUGGACGUCCUUUAGGUAGGGUGGUCCUGCUUCUUCUUAUGGUGUGUGCUGCUACUUCGUCGUCGUCGUCAUGUUCGAUCUUCGGGUCGCCGUACUUGUCGAAGUCUUACUCAUUGGCUACUCCAUCCAUUCCGAUGAUCUUCCUUUUGCCUCUCCUCACGACAACAUGACUGGGCUUUGACGGGUCGGUAAUGAAGAAGCAUUGGUCCACUUGGGAAGCCAAUACCCAUGGCUCAUUUUUCGCGGUGACGUUUGCGCCCGCGGUCUUGGAUUUGGCUUCGGGUAUAACCAUGGUGGUGAAAUACCGGUCUUCUUUUAGGACGCUCUUGGCCCAUCUGACACAAACAUAUAUGCAACACCACAAACACAUGCAACACCACAAACAUACAUAGAUCUAGUUAGGCCACAAAAAGUGCAUGUGCACGUUGUUGGAGCGAGCUAGGGAGAAAAAAAGUAGAUCUACAUCAUGAAGAUAGCUUUCCCCUUACUUACCUAUCAAAAAAGGUAAUUUCACCACUUAAUUUUGAUGAAUCUAUGGUGGAAAUGAGGUGAGGAGGAGGAGAUGGCCAAAAUCUUGGAGAAGGAGGUGGAGGGAAUGAAGUGGGGAAAGUGAGUGGGUAGGUGUGGGGCUGUCCAAAAUAUCUUGUUGGGGUCCCAGGUUACUAAUGACGCACCACCAGCAAAUGCGCCAUUAGUAACCCUGGUUACUAAUGGCGCACCUGCAGGUGGUGCGCCAUUAGUAGUUUUGCAAAAAAGUAAAAAUAAAUAAAUAUAUAUACUAAUGGCGCACCGGGUAACAGUGCGCCAUUACUAGUUUAAACUAGUAAUGGCGCACUGUGAAACGAUGCGCCAUUAGUAGUUUUGCAAAAAAAAAAGAAUAAUUUUUUUUACAGUAAUGGCGCACUGUCUGCUUGGUGCGCCAUUACUACUUAGAACUAGUAAUGGCGCACUUCGACCUGAUGCGCCAUUAGUAUGUAUGGAAAAAUAGAAAAAAUAAUAAUUUAAUAUAGUGGCGCACCCUGUUUCUGGUGCGCCAUUAGUAUAUAGUAGUGGCGCACUGCUUCCAUGGUGCGCCAUUAGUAUCAAUCCUAUCUAUAGCCCUUUUCCUAGUAGUGCAUGGCGCGUCCGGACAACCUAUUCAGUUCGGCCCAUUCGACUAAUUGGUCAGUCAAUGAAAGUGGACGCUCGGGAGAAUGGAAUUGUGUCCAAAACAGCUGGUCCACUUCACGGUCCGUUUGACCCUGGAAGUACUUGACCGCAUCGACAGCGCUCGCCGCCAAAUCCAUAUACACAUCCUCCGAACUCCACAGCCGAUCCAGAGGGGCAUACCGUGGAUCUCCGAACUUCCUCCGCAACAUAAAUGAUUUCCCAGCUACAAUAUCCCCGGCUUCUCGCAGCUCCUCCUUCUUUGCCCUCAUAGAAGAGCGGAGGUCUUUUCUCGUCGCAGUAGCCUUCUCAAGGUCCGAUGCCUUCGCCUGGUUUUCCUUUUCAAGAACCCGGCAACGGUCGGCGGCGGCUUUUAAUUCUAUGGCCAUCUUGGCCAUCUUAUCUCAGCUCUCACCAUGCGCGGCCUUCUCGGCUUGCAACUCUUCGGCCGCCUUCAAAGCAGCCGCAUUACCCAACCUCGCUUGUUCCUUGGCUCGGGCAAGUUCUGCCUGCAAGGCUUCAACAGUGGCAGCUCCAUCUGCAGUCACAACAUAUUAAAGAUACUGGCAUCAUGCUGCUCUUCCUAUGUGGCGUUUACCAGAUAAUGACACUUACCAUGUGCCUCGUCAAGCCUUUUGUUAACAAGCUCGAUGUCGGUGUCUGCCGCAUCUAACUGCCGUUUUAAAUAGGCAAACUCGCUAGUCCGGCUAGCCACCGGAGCUUCCAUCACCUGCACAUAGAGGCAGUAUGAUUAUUACCUGGGAAUAUGAUCCUCUGUUCGUCGUCGUUUCCGACGACCACCAGAGUCUCAGGGGCUACUAUCUACACAGGGCACACCUAGCAUGUGCAGGACUAUUAUACAUUAUUUUACGUACCUCAAAGCCUGUCAGUAGACUCAUAAAAGCUUUAUGCAAUCCGCUUUCGACGGACAAGAUUCUCUCCAUCACCGUAUUCAUCAGCAUACGGUGUUCAUCUGAGAUGGCCGCUCGCCCCACCAACUCCCUCAGAACAUCCGAUCACGCACCAGACGGUGUCGGACUCUUUUGUCUGUUCUCUUCGGGAGCCGGACACUGGGAGCUUGGGGGGUCAAUGGGAUUAUCUUCUGGCCUCACCGGAUUCGGAGAGGCCCUCCGCGACGACACUUCGGGGUCGCCCGCUUCUGGAGCGGAGGAGUCCGGAGGAUGCGUUUCGCUCUCCAUCAUCUCUGGAAGAAGAUCCCCCGAAGACGAACUCAUUUGAGAGGGGCUAAGGCCCGAACUGCAAAGAUAUAUGCGGUGGUUAUUUUCUCAGAAGAAAAAGAUGGCAUACCUAUACUAUUAAAGUAUUUCGGGUCACUUACAACUCGCUGGAGGAUUGAUCCCCCCGCGGACUUAGUGCGGCAAAAGCACCCCCCGAGGUAGGACCCUCUGUGGGAGACUUCUUCUCCCGCUUGGAAGCUUCGGCUUCUGAAUCCCCGGGCGCAGUCCUUUUCCUCCUCCGGUCGUCUUCCUUCAUGGAGACACUCGCUCCCUCGGUUAGAAUGGGCAGCGUUGGGGGCCCGCGUCCGCCUGUAUUAUCCUCCCCGGUAUCUUCCUUCAAGGGCUCCAGGCAGGGUGCGACCUGGAGCAUCUUUUCCAGUACCGGAUUUUCCAAACCCUCAGGGAGGGGGGCGGACACCGAAUCAACUUCUCCUUUGUUAGCCAGUCCUGGUCAAAAUGUGAACUCUCAGAGAUAACUUCGUAACAAAUGAGAGAUAGUAUGUUCGGCCGGAAGAUUCAUUACCUGUUCGGCGGCGCGGUUAUUGCUCAGGCCCACGUCCUCGGUGAUUUUCGGACACUCUACCUGAGGUCCGAAGAAUGACUUGUACAUCUCCUCGUGCGUCAGGCCGAGGAAAUUUUGAAUGACACACGGUCCUUCGGGAUUGAACUCCCACAAGCGAAGGGGCCGGCGUUUGCAAGGCUGGACUUGACGAACCAACAUAACUUGUAUUACCGCAACCAAACUAAAAUCUCCAUUGAAGAGAUCUCGAAUGCGGCUUUGCAGAAUAGGCACGUCCUUGGCUAGACCCCAGCUCAGACCUCUGUUGAUCCAUGACAUCAGUUGUGGUGGAGGGCUCGAGCGGAAAACAGGGGCGGCCGCCCACUUGGCACUUCUAGGAGCCGUGAUGUAGAACCACUCCUGUUGCCAUAAUUCAGACACCUUUGGAAUGGAACCUUUGGGCCAGGGGGCUCCCAUCAUCUUGCGUAUUGAGGCACCUCCGCACGCUGCAUGUUGCCCCUCGAUCAUCUUCGGCUUUACUUCAAAAGUCUUGAGCCACAGGCCAAAGUGAGGGGUAACCCGGAGGAAGGCCUCGCACACGACAAUAAAUGUCGUGAUAUGAAGAAAGGAGUCCGGAGCUAGAUCAUGGAAAUCUAGCCCGUAAUAAUACAUCAAACCCCUAACAAAAGGAUCCAGAGCAAGGCCUAGACCUCGGAGGAAGUGGGAGACGAACACAACGUUCUCGUUGGGUUCGGGGGAGGGGACGGCCUGCCCUCGAGUGGGCAGCCGAUGCAAAACCUCGGCGGUCAGAUAUCUGGCCUCCCUCAACUUUUUUAUAUCUUCUUCCGUGACGGAGGAAGGCAUCCAUCGGCCUUGAAGGCUAGAUCCGGACAUGAUUGAGGGUUCGGAGCACCUGACCUGAACCUUGGGUGUUUGAACUUGAGGUGGGGGAAGGAUUCGAUUGAGCACGGGAGGGAAAAAAUAAAAACCUUGUCCCUUUAUAAAGAGGGUGAAUAUCAAGUGUCCUCUCCGUGGCCGUUUGGACUUGCCUAUAGUCUAGGAGUCCUAGAAGCGGUUGGGUUACCCAUGCCCGUAUUGAUGAGAAUCCCAUAAUAAGAGGACACGAUCUCUGCUUUAACAAGACGUGCCAGGGAAACCGCCUCGCAUAACACACUGAGAUGGGACAGUAAAACGAUUCGAAUAAAGGCUUGGCCAUGGUGUGAUGUCACACUAUGGAAUACGCCAGCAGAUUAGAUUUGUGUAAAUAUUAUUCUCUCUAUCGCAAUAUGUGGAAACUUAUUUUGCAGAGCCAGACACUAUCUUUGUGUUCAAAAUCUUCUAUGAAGUGCUUGGAGGAGGAACCCGCCUUGCAAUGUCGAAGACAAUCUGCGCGCCGGACUCGUCGUCAUUGAGGCCUGGUUCAGGGGCUACUAAGGGAGUCCUGGAUUAGGUGGUGUCCGGAUGGCCAGACUAUACCUUCGGCCUGACUCCUGGACUAUGAAGAUACAAGAUUGAAGACUUCGUCCCGUGUCCGGAAGGGACUUUCCUUGGCGUGGAAGGCAAGCUUGGCGAUACGGAUAUGUAGAUCUCCUACCAUUGUAACUGACUCUAUGUAACCCUAACCCUAUCCGGUGUCUAUAUAAACCGGAGGGUUUUAGUCCGUAGGACAAAACAUUCAUACACAACAAUCAUACCAUAGGCUAGCUUCUAGGGUUUAGCCUCUCUGACCUGGUGGUAGAUCUACUCUUGUACUACCCAUAUCAUCAAUAUUAAUCAAGCAGGACGUAGGGUUUUACCUCCAUCGAGAGGGCCCGAACCUGGGUAAAACUUUGUGUCCCUUGCCUCCUGUUACCAUCCGGCCUAGACGCACAGUUCGGGACCCCCUACCCGAGAUCCGCCGGUUUUGACACCGACAACAGGCUUCACCGCAAGUCUGUAUAAAACUAUAUGCUUUGAUCAACUCAUCAAAGCAUAUAUUCCAACUCUGAGAUGCUUGCACCAGUCCAUAGAUGGAUCACUGGAGAUUGCACAUUUUGUUAACACCUUUAGGAUUGACAAAACCUUCUGGUUGCAUCAUAUACAACUCUUCUUUAAUAAAUCCAUUAAGGAAUGCAGUUUUGUUUAUCCAUUUGCCAUAUUUCAUAAAAUGCGGCAAUUGCUAACACGAUCCGGACAGACUUAAGCAUAGAUACGAGUGAGAAACUCUUAUCGUAGUCAACACCUUGAACUUGUCGAAAACCUUUUGCGACAAGUCGAGAUUUGUAGGAAGUAACAUUACCGUCAGCGUCAGUCUUCUUCUUGAAGAUCCAUUUAUUCUCAAUUGCUUGCCGAUCUUUGGGCAAGUCAACCAAAGUCCACACUUUGUUCUCAUACAUGGAUCCCAUCUCAGAUUUCACGGCUUCAAGCCAUUUUGCGGAAUUUGGGCUCAUCAUCGCUUCCUCAUAGUUCGUAGGUUCGUCAUGGUCAAGUAGCAUGACCUCCAGAACAAGAUUACCGUACCACUCUGGUGCGGAUCUCACUCUGGUUAACCUACGAGAUUCGGUAGUAACUUGAUCUGAAGUUACAUGAUCAUCAUCAUUAGCUUCCUCACUAAUUGGUGUAGUAGUCACAGGAACAGAUUUCUGUGAUGAACUACUUUUCCAUAAGGGAGAAGGUACAAUUACCUUAUCAAGUUCUACUUUCCUCCCACUCACUUCUUUCGAGAGAAACUCCUUCUCUAGAAAGGAUCCAUUCUUAGCAACGAAUGUCUUGCCUUCAGAUCUGUGAUAGAAGGUGUACCCAACAGUCUCCUCUGGGUAUCCUAUGAAGACAUAUUUCUCCGAUUUGGGUUUGAGCUUAUCAGGAUGAAACCUUUUCAUAUAAGCAUCACAAUCCCAAACUUUAAGAAACGACAACUUUGGUUUCUUGCCAAACCAAAGUUCAGAUUGUGUCGUCUCAACGGACUUAGAUGGUGCCCUUUUAAACGUGAAUGCAGCUGUCUUUAAUGCAUAACCCCAAAACGAUGUUGGUAAAUCUGUAAGAAACAUCAUAGAUUGCACUAUAUCCAAUAAAGUACGGUUAUGACGUUCGAACACAUCAUUAUGCUGUGGUGUUCCAGGUGGCAUGAAUUUGUGAAACUAUUCCACAUAGUUUUAAUUGAAGACCAAACUCGUAACUCAAAUAUUUGUCUCCGCGAUCAGAUCGUAGAAACCUUAUUUUUCUUGUUACGAUGAUUUUCCACUUCACUCUGAAAUUCUUUGAACUUUUCAAAUGUUUCAGACUUAUGUUUCAUCAAGUAGAUAUACCCAUGUCUGCUCAAAUCAUAUGUGAAGGUCAUAAAAUAACGAUACCCGCCACGAGCUUCAACACUCAUCGGAUCACAUACAUCAGUAUGUAUUAUUUCCAAUAAGUCAGUUGCUUGCUCCAUUGUUCCGGAGAACGGAGUCUUUAGUCAUCUUGCCCAUAAGGCAUGGUUCGCAAGCACCAAGUGAUUCAUAAUCAAGUGAUUCCAAAAUCCCAUCAGCAUGAAGUUUUUUUAUGUGCUUUACACCAACAUGACCUAAACGGCAGUGCCACAAAUAAGUUGCACCAUCAUUAUUAACUUUGCAUCUUUUGGUUUCAAUAUUAUGAAUAUGUGUAUCACUACGAUUGAGAUCCAAUGAACCAUUUUCAUUGGGUGUGUAACCAUAUAAGGUUUUAUUCAUGUAAACAGAACAAAAAUUUAUUCUCUUACUUAAAUGAAUAACCGUAUUACAAUAAACAUGAUCAAAUCAUAUUCAUGCUCAACGCAAACACCAAAUAACACUUAUUUAGGUUCAACACUAAUCCCGAAAGUAUAGGGAGUGUGCGAUGAUGAUCAUAUCAAUCUUGGAACCACUUCCAACAUACAUCGUCACUUCACCCUUAACUAGUCUCUGUUUAUUCUGCAACUCCCAUUUCGAGUUACUAAUCUUAGCAACUGAACUAGUAUCAAAUACUGAGGGGUUGCUAUAAACACUACUAAAGUACACAUCAAUAACAUGUAUAUCAAAUAUUCUUAUGUUCACUUUGUCAUCCUUCUUAUCCGCCAAUCACUUGGGGUAGUUCCACUUUGAGUGACCAGUCCCUUUGCAGUACGAGCACUUAGUCUCAGGCUUAGGACCAGACUUGGGCUUCUUCACUUGAGCAGAAACUUGCUUGCUGUUCUUCUUGAAGUUCCCCUUUAUUUUCUUUUGCCCUUUUCUUGAAACUAGUGAUCUUGUCAACCAUCAACACUUGAUGCUCUUUCUUGAUUUCUACCUUCAUCGAUUUCAUCAUCAUGAAAAGAUCGGGAGUCGUUUUCGUCAUCCCUUGCAUACUAUAGUUCAUCACGAAGUUCUACUAACUUGGUGAUGGUGACUAGAGAAUUCUAUCAAUCACUAUUUUAUCUGGAAGAUUAACUCCCACUUGAUUCAAGUGAUUGUAGCACCCAGACAAUGUGAGCACAUGCUCACUAGUUGAGCGAUUCUCCUCCAUCUUUUAGCUAUAGAACUUGUUUGAGACUUCAUAUCUCUCAACUCGGGUAUUUGCUUGAAAUAUUAACUUCAACUCCUGGAACAUCUCAUAUGGUCCAUGACGUUCAAAACGUCUUUGAAGUCCCAAUUCUAAGCCAUUAAGCAUGGUGCACUAAACUAUCAAGUAGUCAUCAUAUUGAGCUAGGCAAACGUUCAUAACGUCUGCAUCUGCUCCUGCAAUAGGUCUGUCACCUAGCGGUGCAUCAAGGACAUAAUUCUUCUAUGCAGCAAUGAGGAUAAACCUCAGAUCACGGAUCCAAUCCGCAUCAUUGCUACUAACAUCUUUCAACACAAUUUUCUCUAGGAACAUAUCAAAAUAAACACAGGGAAGCAACAACGCGAGCUAUUGAUCUACAACAUAAUUUGCAAAAUACUACCAGGACUAAGUUCAUGAUAAAUUUAAGUUCAAUUAAUCAUAUUACUUAAGAACUCCCACUUAGAUAGACAUCCAUCUAAUCCUCUAAGUGAUCACGUGAUCCAAAUCAACUAAACCAUGUCCGAUCAUCACAUGAGAUGGAGUAGUUUCAUUGGUGAACAUCACUAUGUUGAUCAUAUCUACUAUAUGAUUCACGCUCAACCUUUCGGUCUCCGUGUUCCGGGGCCAUAUUUGUAUAUGCUUGGCUCGUCAAGUUUAACCUGAGUAUUCCACGUGUGCAACUGUUUUGCACCCGUUGUAUUUGAACGUAGAGCCUAUCACACCCGAUCAUCACGUGGUGUCUCAGCACGAAGAACUUUCGCAAUGGUGCAUACUCAGGGAGAACACUUCUUGAUAAUUAGUGAGAGAUCAUCUUAAAAUGCUACCGUCAAACUAAGCUAAAUAAGAUGUAUAAAAGAUAAACAUCAUAUGCAAUCAAAAUAUGUGACAUGAUAUGGUCAUCAUCAUCUUGUGCCUUUGAUCUCCAUCUCCAAAGUACUGUCAUGAUCUCUAUCGUCACCGGCAUGACACCAUGAUCUCCAUCAUCUUGAUCUAUAUCAAUGUGUCGUCACGUGGUCGUCUCGCCAACAAUUGCUCUUGCAACUAUUGCUAUCGCAUAGCGAUAAAGUAAAGCAAUUAUUGGGCGCUUGCAUCUUAUGCAAUAGAGAGACAACCAUAAGGAUUUUGCCAGUUGCUGAUAACUUCAACAAAACAUGAUCAUCUCAUACAACAACUUAUAUCUCAUCACGUCUUGACCAUAUCACAUCACAACAUGCCCUGCAAAAACAAGUUAGACGUCCUCUACUUUGUUUGUUGCAAGUUUUACGUGGCUGCUACGGGCUUAAGCAAGAACCAAUCUUACCCUCGCAUCAAAAACCACAACGAUAGUUUGUCAAGUUGGUGUUGUUUUAACCUUCGCAAGGACCGGGCGUAGCCACACUCGGUUCAACUAAAGUUGGAGAAACUGACACCUGCCAGCCACCUGUGUGCAAAGCACGUCGGUAGAACCAGUCUCGCAUAAGCGUACGCGUAAUGUCGGCCCGGGCCGCUUCAUCCAACAAUACCGCCGAACCAAAGUAUGACAUGCUGGUAAGCAGUAUGACCUAUAUCGCCCAUAACUCACUUGUGUUCUACUCGUGCACAACAUCAACGCAUAAAACCUAGGCUCUGAUACCACUGUUGGGGAACGUAGUAAUUUCAAAAAAAUUCCUACGCACACGCAAGAUCAUGGUGAUGCAUAGCAACGAGAGGGGAGAGUGUUGUCUACGUACCCUCGUAGACCGACAGCGGAAGCGUUAUGACAACGCGGUUGAUGUAGUCGUACGUCUUCACGGCUUGAUCGAUCAAGCAUCGAAACUACAGCAUCUCCGAGUUCUAGCACACGUUCAGCUCGAUGACGAUCCCCGGACUCCGAUCCAGCAAAGUGUCGGGGAAGAGUUCCAUCAGCACGACGGCGUGGUGACUAUCUUGAUGUUCUACCAUCGCAGGGCUUCGCCUAAGCACCGCUACAAUAUUAUCGAGGAGUUCUCCUCCUAGUAGGAGUAGGACUCCCCUCUUUCCUACUCCUACUAGGAGGGGGAAAGGAAAGGGAAGAGGGAGAAGGAAAGGGGGGCGCCCCCCCCCUCUCCUAGUCCAAUUCGGACCAGAGGGGGAAGGGGCACGCGGCCCACCCUGGCCCAUAAAGCCCAUUACUUCUCCCGGGGGGGUUCCGGUAACCCUCCGGCACUCCGGUUUUCUCCGAAAUCACCCGGAACACUCCCGGUGUCCGAAUAUAGCCGUCCAAUAUAUCAAUAUUUAUGUCUCGACCAUUUCGAGACUCCUCGUCAUGUCCGUGAUCACAUCCGGGACUCCAAAAAAACUUCGGUACAUCAAAAUAUAUAAACUCAUAAUGAAACUGUCAUCGUACCGUUAAGCUUGCGGACCCUACGGGUUCGAGAACAAUGUAGACAUGACCCAGACAUGUCUCCGGUCAAUAACCAAUAGCGGAACUUGGAUGCUCAUAUUGGCUCCCACAUAUUCUACGAAGAUCUUUUAUCGGUCAGACCGCAUAACAACAUACUUUGUUCCCUUUGUCAUCGGUAUGUUACUUGCCCGAGAUUCGAUCGUCGGUAUCUCAAUACCUAGUUCAAUCUCGUUACCGGCAAGUCUCUUUACUCGUUUCGUAAUACAUCAUCUCACAACUAACUCAUUAGUUGCAAUGCUUGCAAGGCUUAUGUGAUGUGCAUUACCGAGAGGGCCCAGAGAUACCUCUCCGACAAUCGGAGUGACAAAUCCUAAUCUCGAAAUACGCCAACCCAACAUGUACCUUUGGAGACACCUGUAGAGCUCCUUUAUAAUCACCCAGUUACGUUGUGACGUUUGGUAGCACACAAAGUGUUCCUCCGGCAAACGGGAGUUGCAUAAUCUCAUAGUCAUAGGAACAUGUAUAAGUCAUGAAGAAAGCAAUAGCAACAUACUAAAUGAUCUGGUGCUAAGCUAAUGGAAUGGGUCAUGUCAAUCACAUCAUUCUCCUAAUGAUGUGAUCCCGUUAAUCAAAUGACAACUCAUGUCUAUGGCUAGGAAACAUAACCAUCUUUGAUCAACAGGCUAGUCAAGUAGAGGCAUACUAGUGACACUCUGUUUGUCUAUGUAUUCACACAUGUAUUAUGUUUCCGGUUAAUACAAUUCUAGCAUGAAUAAUAAACAUUUAUCAUGAUAUAAGGAAAUAAAUAAUAACUUUAUUAUUGCCUCUAGGGCAUAUUUCCUUUAGCCGCCCCUUCCGGCUUGGGGGGGCAAGUUUUUUAGGGGUGGGGGCGCCCAAACCCAUCUAGGGUUUCCCCUGUGGCCGCCACCCCUACCCUAAGGAAACCGUAGGGCACCUCCUCCUCCCCCCUUCCCCCUAUACAUAGUGAGGGAGAGAGGGGGCAGUGGCACCCCUUCACUGGCGCAGCCCCUCCCUCCUCUAACACCUCCUCCUCUGUAGUGCUUAGCGAAGCUCUGCCGGAGAACCACGAGCUCCACCACCACCACGCCGUCGUGCUGUCGGAGUUCUCCCUCAAACUUCUCCUCUCCCCCUGCUAGAUCAAGAAGGAGGAGACGUCCCCGGGCUGUACGUGUGUUGAACGCGGAGGCGCCGUCUGUUCGGCACUUGGUCGGAUCUUCCGCGAUUUGAAUCGCGGGGAGUACGACUCCAUCAACCGCUUUCUUGUAACGCUUCCGCUUAGCAAUCUUCAAGGGUAUGAAGAUGCACUCCCUCUCUCUCGUUGCUAGCAUCUCCUAGAUUGAUCUUGGUGACACGUAGGAAUUUUUUUGAAUUAUUACUACGCUCGCCAACAGCACAUCGUCGGUGCCGUCGUAGAGAACGACGAUGCCUCCCUCGUCGCCGCUACGGCACCGAGCGGCGAUCUCCUCUAGGGCGCGGCGUUGGUGCUCCAGCCGCGCCCACUUCAUGGCCGCGGCAUCGUCGAACCCCGCCUCCGUCUUGACAGCGGCAAGCCCCGUCUCCCUCUUCGGUUCAACGAGGCAGGGAGGAGCCGAGGAGGAGGCCCGCCCGCCCUUGUCUCCGCGGGCUUGGCCUUGACGUUGUACAACACCAAUGAGCAGGAGGAGUGGGAGGAGGAGGAAGAGGAGCCGGUCCUCCUUGGCAUCCAUUGUCCGCUUCUCCGGCGGGGGGCCAGGGUGGCAGGGUACGUGAACGGCGGCUCGUUGCCGCCCUCGAGGUGCUCGAGGACGGCGUGGAGCGUGCGACCAGGGGCGCCCCACCACAGGUGACGGUCGUCGCUGUUCUUUGUCCCCCGCACCACCGGGUGGAGGCUAGCAGCUCCGCCUGCCGGCGCUCGGAGUAGGCCGUUACACCUGGUGUUUGCCUGCGGCGUACUCCAGGCGGGCCCGCUGCUCCUCUGCCAGCGACGCCCACACAUGCUCGACCUCGGGGUUGAAGUAGUCGGGCCGCGUGACGUCGGGCAACAGGGGCACAGCGACGCCCCCGGUGCUGAGCCUCCACCGCCCCGGCGCGUUCAUGUCGGGAGGCGCCGAGAUGUCCGCUUCAUGGAGGAUGUGGGCCUCUCACUCGUGCAGCGAGCGGCGGCCGAAGCCAUUGGCCGCCGCCCGGUGCCCGGGAAACCUCCCGCCAAUCGUUUGUGGCGGCGGAAAGAGAACGGCGGCGGCGACUGUGCAUGGGAAGAGAGAGGGGGGUUGCGGGUCGGUGGUGUGUCUCCGGCGAGGGAGGUGCUGCUUUAUAUAGAGGCGCGGGGGGGAGGGCUACGUCUUGUGUAUGCGUAGCGGGAGGGGGCGCGUCGCCACACCGCGCCGCCCGUGAGGAAUCAAUGGAAGGCUGACCGGCGGUAGCCUUGGCUUUGAUUUCCCGCAGGAAACGAGGUGUUGUGAGGACAACGAGUCGUAGGUCGCUGAAUCGGCGGGCCCGCCGUUCGUUCGCGCCAAAAUCAAUUGCCCCAGCGCCCCAGCGCGUCGGAUUCGGCAUGGGUCCGCCGGCGUCAGUUCCAGACCAAACAGACAAAAAAUGAGUCACUGUAGCGCCCUGUAGAGGCCACGUAGACAGUCUUGUCUUUCACUGUCCAAAAUAUUAUAGCAGCACCUUAGACCUUGUCACUGGGAAAAGAAAUUAAAACCUGGGGCUCGGUCGAUCGGCCGGGAUGCAACGGCAGAUAGCGCGCUGGCUAGAUCGACCUUGUCCUUUUUAAUGGUCAACGACUCUGUCUAGAUUCGAUGUAGUGUUAUUUUAAAUCUGGAACAAGGAUAUAUAUAUAUAGGAAAAUAGGUUAGUACUCCUAGGAGUAUGUACUCCUACGCCAGGUGUCGCUAGUUUCUUCAAUGCCCUGCCGCACCACUUAUUGCCUUUAUUGUUUUUAUUAAUUAAAAAACCUCGGAUAAUAUCGCAUGCAAACUUGCGGCUCAGAAUUUGUUUGCAUGUCCGUGCUAACCGGGAUUUGGGUGACUGGCUUUAUCUUGCUAGAAUAACGAACCGAUCUAUUAGGAAAAUAUAUAAGCUCCUACCUGGAAAAAAAGGCGACGGAGGCGGAGGCGCUGAGAUGCGGUGCGGCUGGACGACCAACAAUGAAACCAGUGAUCCGGCAUGCAUCUGCUUCCAAUUGGCAUCAACCACGACAAGGUAUGCAUGCAUGUACGAUUGGAUUACAUGCAUCGUUGAUUCCCUCUGUAAUUGGCAUUGUGUUAAUUUACAUAGCCUGCAUGUUUGAUAUGCAGCUCACCUGGAUCGGAAUCCCUGCGAGAUGGGUUACGCGGACCGGCGGCAUGUCUUCUCCAUGCAUGCUUGAUCUAGAUGACGCUCUACUACACAAGAUUUGCUUCAGCUCAACGGGAUCGGUUGGCCAUCCGUUGUCCCCACAAGUACAAGGCAAAGUAACUCAGUUUUCUCUUGACGUCGCUGCGGCUACACGUACACGAUGCAAGAGACUCUGCCGACCGAAGAUCCGCAACAUUUUGAUUAGAUCGAUUGAUUCAGUAUGACCGAUCCAUCACUAAACAUGCAAAAACCAAGAGAAACACGACACUGAUGCUUCUGAUGUGAUGUCUAUAAACAGUUUGAGUCUUGUGUUAUUUGACUAUUUGAGUGGACAAAACCAAUACUUAACCCAGAUUAUACUGCCCACGCAAAAAAACUCUUUUCUGUUUAUACUUCUUUUUGAAUAAUUAUACUGGUUUGUAGAGUGGUAUAUGCCGCAUCAUGAAAAUAUGGUAUAUGCUCCAUCCAAAACGUUGGUAUAACUUAACACAAAAAAAGUGGUAUAUGCUACAUCGAAAAUGUUGGUAUAUACUCAUCAUCACAAAAAAUAUGGUACAAAGUCCACCGCAAGGAACCAGUAUAUACUCCAUUGAAAAAUUAAUAAGUGGUACAUAUCCCAUUCACAAAAAAUAAGGUGCACAGACUACCGCAAGGAAGGAGUAUAUACUCCAUUGAAAAAGAAAAUAACUGGUAUAUACUCCAUUGAGGAAAGGCUAUUAUCCGUCACAAAGUAAAUACUACAUUACAAGAGCAAUAUAUAUGACCUCCUAGAAAUGAAUAAAUGAAACAAAAGAACAUUUACCACACUUACGUACUCUCUAGCUAGUUCCCUUGGAGUAUAUGCUACGUGGACAUUGUGUAUGGAUGAGGUAUGUGGUAUGACGUGAAGGUUUACAAUGCGAGCACCCAAUUAUAAUCCCUUAAUUAUAGGAUCAAGCAACUGCAUGCACACACCAGCCAUUGCAUGCAUCGGUUUCUCUUUCUUUAUCCGGUAGUUAGCUAUUGGAUAAUGAGUGGGAGCAUAUAUUCUGUACGUCCGCCGAGGUCGAGUUGACAUUUGUACACGAUUUGUUUACUUUUUCUUGUCUCAAAUAUUUGUCUUUUUAGGAAUUUUAAAUAAACUAUCACAUAGGGAUGUAUAUAGAUAUAUUUUAGAGUGUAGAUUUACUCAUUUUAUUUCGUAUGUAGUCAUUUGUUGAAAUUUCUAGAAAAACAAAUAUCUAGGAACGGAGGGAGUACUAGAUUUCAGUAUAAGCAUAGAGUAGUGCUCGAUCGAGAUCUUUUGUAUUGUUCCUUUUGCCCAGCAGAGCGCCCGGUUUAGUGAACGCUCCACCAACUAAUUUAUAUAGGGAAAAAAAGAACGCUCCACCACCUACGGUCCUGAGCCGGGCAACACUGUUUCGCAUCUUCAUCAUGAAUAAAAUGUUCGUAGAAAAGUCGAGCUACGUCAUGCAUCGUUAGAUUUCCGUUCUGCUGGACGUACGUAGCACUAUUAUAACACUGUCAUGUGGGCCACCCCAGACUGCCGGCCAAAACACAAAGUCAAGCUGUGUCAUGGAAAAAACAGGCUUUAGAUCCAUUUUCUCUUCUUCUUUUUUAGUACAAACAGCUCAGUUUGUAACGAGUAAUCGGCCACGUCGCUGUUUCGCUUCCCUUCCCCCUCCGGCCAUCUGCCACCCACCGUUGACGUCGUCGCGCGAGAACCACAUAAGACUUUGACUUUCUUGCCGCCAUGCGUGUCCUCUCUUCCUAUUGUUGUCCUUGCACGCCUGCUCUGCCCGCCACAUCUCUGUUCGUCGCUCGUCGCCGUGCCGUGGCCGCACGUUCGCUUCGGCCGGCGUUCUUUGCGGCGUUGGACACCGGCAGCAACUUCUUCAGGGUGUCCUGCGAGUGUAAACAGUGUGCGCCCUCCACGAGCAAUGUACUAGUCAUAUAACCUGGCCUGUUUUGGUUGAUAGUCCCUCCGUCCCAUAAUAUAAGAGUGUUUUUUACAUGAAUAAAACGCUUUUAUAUUAUGAGAAAGAGGGAGUAGUUCUUUGGCACCUUUGGAUGGGCCUGCCGCGGCUGGAUUGAUUUUCAGGGAUCAAAUCAUGAUGGUCUAGUACCAUUUGCUGCCUAUCACGUUCUCUGCAUUUGUAAUGAUGCUUUGGAAACUGAGGUCCAUGCUCUCCGGUGCUCUCCAACGCUUGAGCUGUCGACCACUGUCUAAUAAACCUCUUGAUAAGCUCUAGCCAUCUUCUCCAACAACAACCUUUCUAAGUCAGUUUAUGGUCACUCGAUGGCUGAAAUCAGGACUCAAGCUCAAACGGGAUUGGAAUAGGGUAGCCCAUCAAUUGGUAUUCUAUAGCCGGACAGAGGGAGGGCGUGUACUGUUGUUUGGCUACUUCAUGCGCCAUGCAUCGUUGUUUUCGUGCCUCUUUAUUGUAACCCCAUUGUAAUGGAAUAAAAGUCCAAUUUCCCCUAGAAAAGAAAACGCAACGAUUGCAUCAAAGUUAAACAUGCUCUAUGGGUGCCAUCUAUAUGCUAAUAUGCACUACAUUAUGUGAGUACACAGGUUCCAUCUAUGUACAGUAUUGCCAUACUUUAGACUAGAGGGGGCUUCUUUUUCAUAGAUCAUAUUACUCUCUAGCACCUACUAGGCCGGAGUAAAUCAGGUGCUUGGCCGGUGAAUGUCCAUUGUCCUGCUCGCACUGCAUCGACCAGGAGACUUGGCCGAUCAAGGAGCCAUUCAACAAGCAGCUGUAUACUCUAUGCGCAUAGUUACAUAUACUCUAGAUACUGCACUAUUUUGUUGGCUUGCUACCUAGUAGAUCGGGCCUCGUUGUUUUCCAAGGUCAACUCGUCUGUCUAGAUUCGAUCAAAUCAUUUCUUUUUGGCUGGAACCAGGAUGCACCGUACCUACAUAUCCUCUGUCCGUGCAACCUGUUGACAUUCGUACACGAUUCAUCUUUCUAUCUACUGUACUAUCUAUCCUCUCCCAUGGCUAGAUUCGCUCUGCCCAUUAGUGCAUACUCGUAGUACGUACGUGUGCAGCUGCGUUCCACGACGAGCUCACAACAAAUUUACAUUGCCUCUUGUGCAGAACAAAGAAACGGCCCUGCUACGUUUUUCUUUAAAUUUGUAUGCCCAGCAGAGCACCGGGAAGGUUCAGUCAACUCUUCCAACCACGUACAGCUCUGAACCGGACAACAAUGGAGGGACGUCACGCGGUGAUGUGGGCCAUCCCCAAGCCACAAAGGAACAAAAGUCAAGUCUUCUCAUGGAAAAAGAAGCAGGCCGGCACUGUCGAACACUUGAGGAGUUCCCGGACUCGGCCACGUCGGCCGGUCCAGCCGCGUCGCCGCUCCCCUGCCCGCUCCGGCCAUCCGCCACCCACCGUUGACGUCGCGCCGGGUAAACCACACAAGACUUUGACUUUCUCGCCGCCAUGCGCGUCCCCCUCUCUUGCUCUUAAGCCCCGUGCACCAACCGUGCUCCGUCCUAUUGCCGUCCCCGCACGCCUACUCUGCUCACCACCAUGGCCCGCUCCACCUGUCUGUCGCUCGUCACCGUCGCCAUGGCCGUGGCCGUGGUCGCGGAGCUCGCUGCUGCCGGCGAGGCGUCUUCCGGGAUCGGGUUCGACCUGCACCACCGGUCCUCGCCCGUGGUGAGGCGGUGGGCGGAGGCGCGCGGCCACGCGUGGUGGGCCGAGGCCGAGGGCACGCCGGAGUACUACGCCGCGCUGUCCCGCCACGACCGCGCCCACCUCGCCCGCCGCGGGCUGGCCGAGGGCGACGCGAAGGGGCUGCUCAACUUCGCCAGCGGCAACCUCACAUUCCGGCUGGAGGGGUCGCUGCACUACGCGGAGGUGGCCGUGGGCACGCCCAACGCGACGUUCCUGGUGGCGCUGGACACCGGCAGCGACCUCUUCUGGGUGCCCUGCGACUGCAAGCAGUGCGCGCCCAUCGCCAACGCCUCGGAGCUGCGCGGCGGGCCGGAGCUCCGCCCGUACAGCCCGGGCAAGUCGUCGACGAGCAAGGCCGUGACCUGCGAGCACGCGCUCUGCGAGCGGCCCAACGCGUGCGCCGCCAACAACAGCACCAGCUGCCCGUACACCGUGAGGUACGUCUCCGCCAACACCUCCUCCUCCGGGGUGCUGGUGGAGGACGUGCUCCACCUCAGCCGGGAGGAGGCCGGGGGCGCGUCUUCGACGGCGGUGAAGGCGCCCGUGGUGCUCGGGUGCGGGCAGGUGCAGACGGGCGCGUUCCUGGACGGCGCCGCCGUGGACGGCCUGCUGGGGCUCGGCAUGGACAAGGUGUCCGUGCCCAGCGUGCUGGCCGCCGCCGGCCUCGUCGCCUCCGACAGCUUCUCCAUGUGCUUCAGCCCCGACGGCCUCGGCCGCAUCAACUUCGGCGACGCCGGCCGCCGCGGCCAGGCCGAGACGCCCUUCACCGUCCGGAACACGCAGUAAGUAGUUAAUUAGGCGCUCUAUCACUAGCAGGACACCGACACGUGGGUCCCACAUGUCAGUGCAGGCCGAAAAGUCAAAAGGGUUGACUGAUCGGCGACUUUUCUUGUCCGUGCAGCCCGACGUACAACAUCAGCGUGGCGGCGAUGACCGUGGAGGGGAAGGAGCUGGCGGCGGAGUUCGCCGCCGUCGUCGACUCCGGCACGUCCUUCACGUACCUCAACGACCCGGCGUACACGGAGCUGGCCACCAGCUUCGACUCCCAGGUGCGCGAGAAGAGGGCCAACCUCAGCGCCUCCAUCCCGUUCGAGUACUGCUACCAGCUGGCCCGCGGGCAGACGGAGCUGUUCGUGCCGGAGGUGAGCCUGACCACCAGGGGCGGGGCCGUGUUCCCGGUCACCCGCCCCUUCGUGCUCAUCGCCGGCGAGACCAGCGACGGCCAGAUGGUCGCCGUCGGAUACUGCCUCGCCGUGCUCAAGAACGACAUCACCAUCGACAUCAUCGGCCGUACGCGCACUGCACACUUGUUCUCUUCGGUUAAUUCCUUCAUCGUUCCGUUGCUGAUUGCUGAUUACUUCAUCACCGAUAAAACAUGCAGAGAACUUCAUGACCGGCCUCAAGGUGGUGUUCGACCGGGAGAGGUCCGUCCUCGGCUGGCACGAGUUCGACUGUAAGCUCACAAUCAUUCUCCAUGAAUUGUAUGUAUACCUGAUGAAUGAAUUGUGCUGUAUAUGGAUCAUUGGUUGAUUGUCCCAACUAAAUUAACUGCAGGUUACAAGGACGUGGAGACAGAGGGCCACGGCGGGAGCCCCGGCGCGGCUCCGGGGCCGUCGCCGACGACCCGUAUCAAGCCGCGGCAGAGCGAGACGACGCCGUACCCCGGCGCGGUGCCGGUGACGCCGAGGCAGGCCGGCUCAGGCGGCAGCCGCCUCUCCUUCUCCCUGGCGCUGCUGCUUCCCCUGCUGGCUUACGCCGCGGCCGUGGUCUGACAUGAUCGGCGCGGGAGAAGUGGUGUACAUACAUACAUACAAAUUAGUAGUCGAAUUCAGAAUUUUGAUACAGAUUCAUAUACUAGCUUUUUUUUUUGAGAAUUUUUUUUUUCAUAUACUAGCUAGGUCGAUCAUUUAUAGGUUCGGUUUUGCUGAUUGGUUUGUAGUGAGGAAGCCCAUGUGUACAUGCGGCGUGUCACAUGCAGAUGCGAAUAAAAACAUACAGAUGCACUCCUUCUGUGUACAAAUGUCACUCUUUCCUUUUUCUUUUUGAGGGGACAUCUAGGAAUCUCGACAGUGUUCUUCUGCAGGUCCCGAACUCACAUGCAAACGGGUGAGCAGUAAAAUCCAAAAAAAAGUAAAAUAAAUUUAAAUAAAAACUGAUUUUUUGGCAACACAAGCAUUGAUGAGUGCUUCAUCUGCAUGCAAAAUUUCGUGAUGGAAUGACAUUUGUGGAGGUCUGAAAAAAAAUUGAUGCUCCAAAAUGAUCAUGUUUUUCCUGUUCUCAACGAAUGUCAUUCCAUCAGAAAAAAAUUGUACGCUGGUAAAACAGUCAUCAAUGUUUAUCACAAAGAGAUCGGAUUUUUCUUUUUGGAUUUUACCGUUCAUACAGGUGCAUUUGAGCUCGCUAUCAGACAAUUUUUUUUGGAUUUUUUCUUCUGGAGCGUGUUUUUGGUGUGCUUCAAUCUCGAUAGGCCAUAGUUCGACACCCUGGACUGACAUGGAGCACCGACAAGCUUUUGGAGGUGAUGACUGUUUGUGUGAUCAUGCAUAACAUGAUCGUGGAGGAUGAGCGUGAUGACAUCAUCUAUGACCAAGGGUUCCAACUACAGGGUGAAAUUGUUGGGCCUGAGCACCAAGAACCGAUAACGUUUGAACAAUUCAUCAAAUUUCAUCAUGAAAUGCGUGAUUGGCAAACAGAUAUGCAACUUCAAGAUUACUUGGUUGAGCACAUGUAGACUCACCUUGGCAACCAGUAGAUGUAUUGGUUCAUUUUCUUUCGAUGUAUUCGUGACAUUUUAAAUUUGGUUGUAAACUUUGUGAUUUUUAUUUUGUUGUGAAACUAUUUAUUAUUAUGGUACUAUGUGAUUUAUUUGGUGGUAAAACUAUAUGAUAUGUUUCUUUUUAGUUAAACGAAUGUCUACAUUUGCACGCCGGCCAUCCGACGGACCAAAUGCGCUGGUCGUGUUGGGCCCACUGGCAAUGCAACCACAAAAGAGGACGGAUGCCGCCUCUGUGCCCAACCUAAAUAGACAGAGUCCCGACAAAAAGGACAUCCAUUUGCGGUUGCACGUUAGAGUUAGCCUUGGAUGCUCUAUCAACGAGCCGAGAGAGUUUCUGCAUCAUCCAUGCCCGGAUUACAUGCAUCCAGCCAUCCAGGCAAAAAGAUAGGUUUGUAUACAGCCAUCUUAUGGUUUAUUUUCCCUAACCAUUUUAUGGUUUAUUUUCCAAGCAACUAGUUUAUUUUUAGUUUUUAUUUUAGACUUUACAUGUGCACCUGUUGCACAACCUGGAAAACAUUCGAAUAUGAGCCUUAGAAGUAGUAAAAAAGGGUAAAAAUAUCAGGAUUUUUUUAAUAAAGACCAAUAAAAGAAACGGUAAAAAAAGGUUUGUAUACAACCAUUUUAUGCUUUAUUCAGGCAACUAGUUUAUUUUUUAUUUUAGACUUUACAUGUGCACCUGUUGCACAACCUGCAAAACAUUCAAAUAUGAGCCUUAGAAGUAGUAAAAAAGGGAAAAACAUUACAUGUGCAGCUGUUGCACAACCUGCAAAAUAUUCAAAUAUGAGCCUUAGAAGUAGUAAAAAAAGGAAAAACCAAUAGGGAAAUAGAAAUAUUAUAAAACAAUAAUAGAAAUGGCUAAAAAAAGACUAACAUCGCACCGUACUUCUACCCCCCCUUUAUUUCCUUCGCCUUUUAUUUUAUCCUUUUGGUAUUAAUUUAUCCCUUUUUCAAAAAAAAAAAAUUCAAAUUCUGUAUUUUCUUCAUGAUUUCAUAAAAAAAUCAUGGUUUUUAAAUUUUGUUCACAAUUCAAAAUUUGUUCAGCCUACAUUACAUAAAUGUUAAAUAUAUAUUUUAAAUUUGUUUGGCAUAUAUCACAAAAAUGCUCACUAUGUAUUUCAAAUUUUCCAGUGGAUAAUACAAAAAUGUUCAAUGUAUAUUUUAAAAAAUUGUUCAUCUUUUUUGGAAUUUCGAAUUUUUUGUUCAACUUUUCAAUAAUUGUUCACUUUUGAAAAGUUUGUUCGAAUUUAAAAAAUUGUUCACGGUUUCAAAUAGUUUUGGCGUUUUUAUUCAGAAUUUUAUAUAUUUUGUUCUCAAUUUACGAGAAUUAUUCAAAAAAAAAUUGAAAGUUGUCCGGUACUUUAAAUUCUCCUGCUGCUUGUGAACCAGUACAUCUUAUCAGAUUGACUUGCUGGGUUGUAGAAUUACUUGGCGGGAUGUCACCGGUUUGAUCUCUCUCGUUGGCGCGGUGUAUUUUUGGUGAAUUUUUUACGCGCUCGGUCUCCUGACCUCUAAAUGGGCCGGCCCAUCUGUAUCUACCUUCAGCGAAAGCUCCUUUACUUGACGCUAGCGAGCGUCAGACAGGAGCUCUCGCAAUAAUCCUACACAUACGAGGGUUUUACGCGUCUGUUACACAUACGAGGGUAUACCAGGCAUGCCAUGGCCCAGGUACGUACCAUGGCGGUGCCACGGUGCAAAGUUUCAGUCAAUUAUGAAACACGCCGGUUGACUAAUUAACUCGUCUAGGCUAAAGACAGGAUCUAAGUAAUAAUAGUAUUACAGAAAAUUUACCACUACUCUCUUUGCAAAAUAAUUAGCGUUUAGGUUCGCACUUCAGCCGAGAUUGAUUAUGUUCUUUCGAAAUGAUUGUUUUAACAUGUACUCCAAUCGUCGAAAAAGCUUGUCUCUCAAAUGGAUGUAUCUAGCAUCAAGUUAGUGCUAGAUACAUCCAUUUGAGAAACAAGUCUAAAACAACAUUUUUUGAAUGGAGGGAGUAAGAUUGUUAACGAUAAUCAGUCGCCAUGGAAUAAUACGACCCGCGACCUUCUCUCCGGUCAUCAAAAUAAUCCUAUACGACCUGGGCCGUACGCACCCAAUCUGGAGACCCACCUCCCCCACUUGACACCUGUCAAAACGAAUCUCAAAGCGCACCAUCGUUUCCAACUUGCAGCCCACUCCGAUUCCCACGUUCUCGUCUCUUUACAUCUCGUCGGCGACGGCACAGAUCCGGAUCGAGGAGCAUACGCAGCAGUCAGCAGCCUCUCCACCGGAUCCUCUCUGCCCGUAGCUGGCUCCUCCACACCGACGGGAACGGGGACAAGCAGUUGUGCGAUGCUCGAGCUGGGACGCCGACGAGGAUUGGAGCACCACGAGAAAGGGAUUUGCCACCAGCCUCAAAGAGCAUAUCUGUGGCUGGAUGUGGUGACUAGAUAGGGCGAGGACGCGAGCUGGGCAUCGAGGAGCGUCGCCGUUUCCGGCGAGCUUCGCCGUUGCCGGCGAUGAUGGCGUCGACGAGCGCAUCGGCAGCGAUGUGGCGAGAGAUUCGGCAAAGGGAUACGAUGGGAAGAAGGCUGCUGCUUUGAGAUUUGGUUUUGCCAGCUGUCACAUUUAGAAGUGGGUCUCGGAUGCUGGAAUUUUGCUAGUAGGCCUUUGGCCCAAAGCCCAACUAAAAUUCUGAAAUUCUCUUGGCCCAUUCAUGCACACAUGUGAGUGGAGUGAGUGAGGCUAAAGUUUAGUCCACCCCGGAAGUUGAGAGAGAGUGGCACCUCUUUAUAAGGUGAGCUUUUCUACCACUUGUAUGAGCAUGAGAAGAGGAGACCUACACGCGCGCUCCUCCUCCUCGCUCGCCGCGCCGCGCCGCGGGUUGCGGGAUUGAGCCGAGCCGAGGACAGAGCUAUGCACGUUGUCUAUAUUUUUGCUGCAUGAGAAAAUUAAUGAGUCAUUAAUUAAUAAUUAACGGACGCGUUAAUUACUGAACCGUUUCCGAUUCUUUUGGAUCGUGACGACUCGGACAUGGGGUUUACUCCCACGACCUACCCGGCCGCCGCCGCUUCGUAUGGUUUCUCACCACCGUUCCAGAUCAUUGCACCGCCAAGCAAGUCUUCUCCAUCCCUCCUUUCGGCGUGCACCGCGAGAAGGGACAGCAGGCCUCCGGAACCCCGCCUCUCGUGAUCCUGUAUGGGAGAGGGGCGAUCACGUUUUCGGGGAGCGCACUCGCGCGACUGCUGGCAGCGAUGACUUCGCGAACGACGACUUCUUCCCCGACCUCGGCAACCUCGUCCUCGACGACAUGGGCGACAACGUCAACGCCGGCGGUGCUGCACCCGCUGCAUCGUAUGUGAUUCUAUCCUUCCUGUUCGAGAUCAUGGUAGAAUUCAUGCUUCUAGUAUGUGCCCU
This 71852-nucleotide long non-coding RNA is filed under the name Triticum aestivum (bread wheat). Its description in RNAcentral is "long non-coding RNA (TAES_LNC015480)". The record is from RNAcentral. Lineage: Eukaryota; Viridiplantae; Streptophyta; Magnoliopsida; Poales; Poaceae.